This 68114-nucleotide long non-coding RNA is filed under the name Triticum aestivum (bread wheat). RNAcentral describes it as "long non-coding RNA (TAES_LNC015965)". The stretch from base 24681 to 24814 matches the Rfam family "MIR1120/MIR1122 microRNA precursor family". Lineage: Eukaryota; Viridiplantae; Streptophyta; Magnoliopsida; Poales; Poaceae. The record is from RNAcentral.
AGGGUGUUGAUCUAGUGUACCAGGUGUAUCGGGAGCAUCUGACCUGCUCACUGUACGAGUAUUACGCGGAGGUCACUUUACACCACAGUUCCCCCUCCGGCGCUUACACUCGUUCCUUUAAGGGUGGUUUCGCUUCCACGCCAUCUCAGGCCAUCCAGUUUGCUGCACUCGAGGCACUUGUAGACUUGCACUACAACGAGGUUCGCAUGCAGGCCCAUCCAGGUUUCUAUUUCUACCCGUCUCUACACGAGAACGGGUGUAUCCGUUUCCCUUUUAUUGAUCCGGCGUGUGAUCGUCCUUCUAGCCACCUUUCUCGCUAUAUCACUGCCAAUUAUCUCUUGAUCUAUGAGUUGGCCCGAGAGUUAACCCGAGCCCGGAUAGCCCUUAUCGUUGCUCGGAAUAGGAACCCUCCACCUACUGUCGAAUUUACCCCGUUCGUUCCUCCACCCUCUGCUACUCCUGUUACUCCGGUGACCACUCAGGGUACCACGAACCCUUUGGCAGUGACUCCUUGCAGUGCCCCUGCUGCGUGGGCUUCCCUUGUCGCUACUCCUGCAGCCCCUAUGCUCCAGUCUUGCCCUGCACCUGCCCCUGAGGGAGAGUCCUCGAGGCAGCGUUGUCGUGUCACUUUUAACCCGGAGGUUUCCACUAUCAGCUCAGCAUCUGAGUCCGGCUCAGGAGAGGAACCCGCAGCACCAGCCGAGCACUAGAUCGUUAGAGUAUCUGCAGUCGUCAUGAGGUUGAUGUACGGAUGUAGUCAUAUGUGUCAUGAUGCUUAGUUUCAUGUAUGAGGGUAGUCGAACCCGUCAUGAUGUUUAUUUUUCAUGUAUGAGUCUAUGUAUAAUUAUGUUGGGACUUUUUAUUAUUUGCCUUGAUUUUUCGAUGUUUUCUUCCGGGUUUGUCGCUGGCUUUUCUUCCCAUUUUUGGAUAUUGCUCAUCCCGGUUGCUUUAUAUUGGGAAAACAAAUAAUAGGAUGAUGCAGGGAGGCAGUAGCAGCCACGCUUGUGAGGAUGUCCCUGUUCGUCGCUCAGCAAGACAGGCAGGACAUUCCCCCAAGCCGUAUCCUCCGCCACCGCCACAUCUGCCAUCCACUGAGCAGAUCAUGCGUAUGUUUGAAGAAAGAAGGAACAAUGAUCUGAUUGAGCUAUUGAAAAGUGUGCAAGCUAUGGUUGGGCAGAAUGGAAAUCAAAAUGGUCAUCACUCCAAGCUGUCAGAUUUUCAGAGGACCAAGCCCCCCAGUUUCAGUCAAGUUAUCGAUCCUUUGGAAGCCGAUGAUUGGUUAAGGAGUACUGAGAAAAAUCUUGAGAUUGCUCGCACUGAAGAAGCUGACAAGGUUCCGUUCGCUACGCAUUAUCUUGAAGGAGCUACUGCUAUAUGGUGGGAUAAUGCUAAAGCUAUGUGGCCUGCGGACGAAAAAAUUACUUGGACUAAAUUCAAGGACCAUUUCUGCAAGUAGCAUAUUCCCGCCGGGAUUAUGAAGGUCAAGCAGCUCGAAUUCCUCACUCUCACCCAAGGAAGCCUGUCAGUAAGUGAGCACCUGCAUAAGUUCAAUCAUUUGGCUCGCUAUUCUCUCUAUGAUGUGGCCACAAAAGAAAGGAAGAUCGACAUAUUUAUUGGAGGACUGAAUCAACACCUCAGAUGCACUCUCAGUAUGCUCGACUUUCCGGAUUUCCAGACUUUGGUAAACAAAGCCCUCAUUGCAGAAAGAGAACACAAGCUCGUGCACGACAACAGACCCGCCAAUAAUGAUAACAAGUGCAAAUUCGAGCCUAAGAAGGAUGGACAACCAGUGCAGAAGGCUCGUACUUGGAAGCAGACUCAGGUUGAGUACAAGCCCAAUUGGCAGCAGAACGUGAACACGACCACUACUCAAGUCAAGAAUGUCGUAACCAGCCCGGUGCACGAGGAAUGUCAGCGCAACAAUUCAUGCUUCAAUUGUGGGCAAACCGGACAUUAUGCCAGACAGUGCCCCAAGAACGGCAAGCCAAAUGCCCGAUUUAGGCCGCAAGUCAACCACAUGGGGCCAUGCCAUGUCCAGAGGACCAUCCAAGGGCAAGUUCACCACCUCUCCGCAGAUGAAGCCCGAGAGGACCCUGAAGUCGCCAUUGGUAUGUUUCCUGUUAAUAGCAUACAUGCAAUAAUUUUAUUUGACUCUGGGGCUUCCACUCUUUUAUUUCGCGGAGUUUUGUUGCCCAAAACAAGUUUCCUUGCUCGAUUUUGGGAAAAAGUAUGAUGGUACAAUCCCCGGGAUCCGUGCUCGGAAGUAAUCUGGUCUGCCGUAAUUUGGAAAUUGAUAUCAAGGGAGUCAGAUUUACAACUUCCUUGAUAGUCAUCGAGUCUGCCAAGUUGGAUAUUAUUUUGGGGAUGAACUGGUUGACCCAAUAUCAAGUAUGCAUCAACUGUGCGACCAGACAAGUCACUUUGACAAGCCAGGAAGGUCGAACCACAAAAUUCUAUGCCCGUAGGAGCAUACCCAAGAAAGAAUUGGUCUUCACUGCUGUAGCUAAAGAAUUGGAAUUAAUUCAUGUGGUCAGUGAAUUUCCAGAUGUAUUCCCUGAGGAAUUACCAGGAAUGCCGCCAGACCGGGAGCUUGAGUUUGCAAUCGAUCUUGUGCCCGGGACCGCACCAUUAUACAAGAAGUAUUAUCGGAUGCCUUCGUCAGAAUUAGUAGAAUUAAAGAAAUAGCUUGAUGAGAUGCUUCAGAAAGGAUACAUCCGCCCAAGCUCUUCACCAUGGGAAUCCCCCGCAAUAUUUGUGGACAAGAAAGACGGCAGUCUCCGGAUGUGUGUGGAUUACCGUCAGCUGAAUGAUGUCACUAUCAAGAACAAAUAUCCACUACCGAGGAUUGAUGAUUUGUUUGAUCAACUCAGUGAGGCAAAAGUAUUCUCCAAGAUUGAUUUGAGGACCGGAUACCACCAACUCAAGAUCAAGAAGGAAGAUAUUCCUAAGACCACGUUCACUACUCGAUACGGUCUUUACGAAUAUACAGUUAUGUCUUUCGGCCUCACCAAUGCCCCUGCCUUCUUCAUGCAUGAUGAAUAAGGUGUUCAUGGAUUUCUUGGAUAAGUUUGUGGUAGUCUUCAUUGAUGACAUCCUCAUAUACUCACAAGGUGAAGAAGAGCACAAGGAACAUCUCAGGGCAGUCUUACAAAGACUCCAUGACCAUCAGCUAUAUGCAAAAUUCAGCAAAUGUGAGUUUUGGCUCAAGCAAGUCGGAUUUUUAGGGCAUGUUCUUUCAGCAGAAGGCAUAGCCGUGGAUCCAAGCAAGGUAAAAGAUGUGCUUGAUUGGACGGCACCCACGACCGUAUCCCAGAUCCGGAGUUUCCUUGGAUUAGCCGGAUACUACCGCCGCUUCAUCGAAGGUUUCUCUAAGAUUGCCAAGCCAAUGACAGAGAUCCUCAAGAAAGAUAAGAAGUUUGAAUGGAUUGAGGAUUGUGAGAAGAGCUUCAAUGAGCUAAAGACCAGACUGACAACGACCUGUGUUGACCCUUCCAGACAUAUACCGCAACUUUGAUGUAUACUGUGACGCAUCCAAGAGAGGUAUUGGAUGUGUACUCAUGCAAGAUGGCAAGGUUGUAGCAUACGCAUCUCGACAGCUAUGACCUCACGAAGGGAACUAUCCAACACAUGAUUUGGAGUUGGUCGCAGUUGUGCAUGCUUUGAAAAUUUGGAGACACUACCUCAUUGGAAAAAAGUGUUAGAUAUUUACCGACCACAAGAGUCUCAAUUAUAUAUUCACUCAACCGGACUUAAAUCUUAGACAGCGAAGAUGGCUCGAGUUGGUCAAGGAUUAUGAUCUUGGAAUCGAUUACCACCUCGGUAAGGCCGAUGUUGUUGCCGAUGCUCUCAGCCGUAAGCCUGCCAGCUUGAACGCCCUGGUAGAGUCCUUGCCUCCCGAACUCCAAGAAGAGAUCGCUCAACUCAAUUUGGUUAUUGUUGAUGCGGGCCUUGCCAAUAUAUUGGAAGUCACUCCUACUCUCGAGGAUGAGAUCCGCAUGGCCCAACAAGAUGACCCAGUCCUACAAAAACAUGUCACGUGUAUGCAAGAAGGCGAGACCCAGGAUUUCUCUAAGGAGAAGCAAGGUACUCUAAGGUUUCGAGGACGGAUUUGCGUACCUGAGCAAGCAGACCCGAGAAGAAGAUUUUGGUAGAGGCGCAUGAGUCUUCGUACUCGAUUCACCCAGGGGGUACCAAAAUGUAUGAAGACCUUCGACUGAUAUUUUGGUGGGAUGGAAUGAAGAAAGACAUUGCAUACUUUGUCGCUUGCUGCGAUAUAUGCAACAAAGUUAAGGCGGAACACCAGAAACCCGCCGGACUUCUUCAACCCCUACCCGGUUCACAAUGGAAGUGGGAUGAUACCUGCAUGGAUUUCAUCACAGGCCUACCAAGGACUCACCGAGGCAAUGAUGCAGUAUGGGUCGUGGUGGACACACUGACUAAGGUAGCCCACUUCAUUCCCAUCCGAACCACCUACCGAGCCGAUCAGCUCGCCCAGCUAUAUGUGUCCAGAAUCGUCAGUGUGCAUGGAGUGCCAAGAACAAUCACUUCAGACCGAGGUUCUCUCUUUACCUCAGCAUUUUGGUCACGUCUCCAUCAAGCCUUGGGGACUGCCCUAAAAUACAGCACAGCCUAUCAUCCUCAAACAGACGGGCAGACUGAGCGGGUAAACCAAAUACUUGAAGAUAUGCUUCGAGCAUGUGCUUUGGCCCAAGGACCCAAGUGGGACGAUUGUCUGCCGUAUGCUGAGUUCUCCUACAACAACAGUUUUCAGACCAGCCUGAAGAUGUCACCUUAUGAGGCUUUGUAUGGCCGUAAGUGCCGCACUUCGCUAAACUGGUCUCAAACCGGAGAUAGCCGCAUUUUUGGAACUACUUUAAUGAUGGAGGCUGAAAGGCAAGUCAAGGAAAUCCGAGAUAGACUGCAGUUGGCUAAGUCCCGACAGAAGAGUUAUUAUGAUGCAAAGCAACGUUGGAUCAGUUUUGAACCCGGAGAGCAUGUGUACCUCCGAGUCACACCCAUGAAAGGAGUCAAGAGAUUCCAGACCCGAGGAAAACUGGCACCAGAUAUAUUGCUCCAUUCCCAGUUAUGACCAGAGUUGGCACAAUUGCUUAUCAGUUGGAAUUGCCACCAGAAUUGUCAGAAGUACACGAUGUGUUCCAUGUCUCACAGUUAAGAUUGAUAUGGCAGAAAUAGAGCUGGCUAUGGAUUUAACCUAUGAGGAGAAACCGUUCAGAAUAUUGGAUGAGAUAGAAAGAGUCGCUCGCAGUAAAGUGAUAAAGUUUAUAAGGUUCAGUGGGAGCAUCACACCGUGGAAGAAGCAACUUGGGAAAGAGAGGAAUUUUUAAGGACAGCCUACCCAGAAUUGUUUUCCUGAGCAACCGAAUCUCGAGGACGAGAUUCAUCCUAAGUGGGGGAGGUUUGUGACAGCCGGGUUUUUGCCUUCUCUCUUUUUCCGGGCUUCUUUGCAACUGAUUUUGAAUUUGGAGUUUUGAAUCAAUUCAAAUGGACUUAAACACUUGGGCAUGUCCUUGAUUUUCACCCAAGUGACCCAUCCCUCUCAAAAUCAUUAUUCUAUCUCUGAAAAAUCUCAAAAUGACCCAAGUAAUAUUUUUCAUAAAAGAGAAAUAUUCAUUUUCUUCUCUGAAAUUCAAUUCAGCAACAUAUGCUCCAAAGCAACCCUCAUUUUUCUUGCACCCAAAAAUCUGAGAAAAUUCCCAAAUAUUCUUUGGACCUCGGUACACCUCCCUGAGCAAAAAUAUUGCCUAAGUUUUUGGAAUAUUUUUGCUACAGAAAAUCAUUUCUAUUCUGGCCUCAAAAGGCAGUUUCUACAGCAAGUAUACUUUUCCUUGAUCUAAUGAGGCUGAUUUUUCUUGAGCCUCAUUACCCUCCUAAGAAAACCUUAAUCCCAGGAGAUUAGCCCUAAACCCCUUCUAGAACCUCUCCAAACACAGUGCACAAGUUUCUGUCCAGAAACUUGCCGUUUCUCUCUUGUUAAAUCUGGUCGGCCUGGCAGUGUGCCAUCUCUUCCUCUAGACUAAACACUGCAUGGACAACACACUAGACACGGUUUGGCAUCGCCUAGGCGUCAUUUUGACCGAGCUAGCGUGGUGACCGCGUGAGGACAUGGCCCUGGCAAUGCGUUCGACGCGCUCUACGCUGCGCCCGUGCUUCUGUUCAACGCAUGCUCGUAUCAGAGCUCGCCGACGACUGCCGCACCGCGCCACCAGAUUCGUCUCAUCGCCCUUGACCUCUCCCUAGCGCUCGCAGACGCCGGAGCCGCCGCAACGAGCAUGGGCACGCCGCGGCCAAAGCCACAGUGCGCCCCGUGCCACUGUCUUCGUCCGUGCCCGCACUCCUGUGCUCGUCCGCAAGCUCCAUGAUGACCCACAAGUAUAGGGGAUAAAUUGUAGCUCUUUUUGAUAAGUAAGAGUGUCGAACCCAACGAGGAGCAGAAGGAAAUGACAAGUGGUUUUCAGCAAGGUACUGUCUGCAAGUGCUGAAAUUGUAUGUAGCAGAGUAGUUUGAUAGCAAUAUAAUUUGUAACGAGCAAGUAACGAUAGUAGUAACAAAAGUGUAGCAAGGUAGCCCAAUCCUUUUGAGGCAAAGGACAGGCCAAAACGGUCUCUUAUGAUAAGCAAAGUGUUCUUGAGGAUACACGGGAAUUUCAUCUAGUCACUUUCAUCAUGCUGGUUCGAUUUGUGUUUGCUACUUUGAUAAUUUGAUAUGUGGGUGGAUUGGUGCUUAGGUGUUGUUCUUACUUGAACAAACCUCCUACUUAUGAUUAACCCUCCCACAAGCAUCCGCAACUACGGGAAAAGUAUUAAGAAUAAGUUCUAACCAUAUCAUUAAACUUUUGGAUCCAAUCGGCCCCUUACGAAAUAGUGCAUAAACUGGGGUUUAAGCUUCUGUCACUCUCGCAACCCAUCAUCUAAUUACUACUCCACAAUGCAUUCCCUUAGGCCCAAAUAUGGUGAAGUGUCAUGUAGUCGACGUUCACAUGACACCACUAAGGGAAUCACAACAUACAUACUAUCAAAAUAUCGAACACAUAUCAAAUUCACAUGAUUACUUGCAACAUGAUUUCUCCCGUGACCUCAAGAACAAAAGUAAAUACUCACAAAUGAUAAUCAUGCUCAAGAUCAGAGGGGUAUUAAAUAGCAUAUUGGAUCUGAACAUAUAAUAUUCCACCAAAUAAACCAUAUAGUAAUCAACUACAAGAUGUAAUCAACACUACUAGUCACCCACAAGCACCAAUCUAUAGUUCCCAUAACAAGAUUGAAUACAAGAGAUGAACUAGGGUUUGAGAUGAGAUGGUGUUGUUGAAUAUGUUGAUGGAGAUUGCCCUCCCCAAGAUGGGAGAGUUGUUGGUGAUGAUGAUGACGAUGAUUUCACCCUCCGGGAGGGAAGUUCCCCCGGCGGAAUCUCUCAGCCGGUGGGCAAAAGUUCUCCUUCCCAAGUUCCGCCUCGAGACGGCGGCGCUCCGUCCCAAAAGUCCUCCCUUUAUUUUUUCUAGGUCAAAAUGACCUAUAUACCAGAAGAUGGGCACCAGAGCUGGGCCUGGGUGAGCACAACCCACUAGGGCGCGCCUAGGCUCCCUGGCGCGCCCAGGUGGGUUGUGUGCCCACCUGGUGGGCCCCCUCUGGUAGUUAUUUGCUCCAAUAUUCUUCAAAUAUUCCAUAAAAAAUCUCCGUGAAGUUUCAGCUUGUUUGGAGUUGUGCAGAAUAGGUAGCCUGACAUAGCUUUUUCAGGUCCAGAUUUCCAGCUGCCGGAAUUCUCCCUCUUUGUGUGUACCUUGCAUAUUAUGAGAGAAAAGGCAUUAGAAUUACUCCAAAAAGCAUUAUUAUGGAUAAAAACAUCAUAAAUAACAGUAAAAAAACAUGAUGCAAAAUGGAUGUAUCAACUCCCCCAAGCUUCCUCGCUUGUCCUCAAGCGAAAACCGAAAUCGAAAAACAUGUCCACAUGCUUUGAGAGAGAGGUGUCGAUAAAAACAAAAUACGGACAUAGAAGCAUCAUGUAGAUUAUUAAAACAACAACAAAUUUAAACAUAAAACUUUUAUCAUAGAGCUUUUAUCAUAAACUUCUCAUGAAUAAGUAACAGUUCAUCACACAAUCGAAGUAUAAAGUAUGAACUCUAUUAGAAACCAACAAACUAUGUUCUCAGUCAACUUUGCAACUACAAUCCAUCAUCUUUUAGGAAGGGUCACGUAUCGGAGCCUUUAGGCAAGUCCACAUACUCAACCAUCAUAUAGUCUUCUAUGAUUGCUAACACUCACCGCAUACACAUGAGCAAAACGUUUCAACCGGACACAUAGAAAGAUAGGGGCUUAUGGUUUCGCCUCCCAACGUAUUCACCUCAAGGGUGAUGGCAACAAUAAUAACCCAUGCCACCCAUAUUCAACUGGACAUAUGUGCCUAGAUCUUUCCUCACCACAUGAUGGUUGCCAAAGGAGAAAAGAAAAAGGAAUAGAGAGAAAACUUUGACUCUUUGCAUAAAAGUAAAUACAUAAAAGUAAAGAUAGGCCCUUCGCAGAGGGAAGUAGAGGUUGCCAUGUGCUUAUUUGUUUGUAUGCUCAACCCCUUAGUGCAAAAGAACGUCACGUUGCAUUGCCCCUUGUGAUAGCGACUUUUAUUAUGCAGUCUGUCGCUUUUAUUCUUCACCAUCACAAGUUCGUGCAACGCUCAAUUUUCUCUUACACUAAAUGAUCUCACACAUUUAGAAGCAAUUUUUAUUGCCUUUUUGCACCGAUGACAACUUACUUGAGGGAUCUUGCUCAAUCCCUAGGUAGGUACGGUGGACUCUUGAAAAUAAGAUUUGGGUUUAAGGGUUUUUGGAUGCACGAGUAGUAUCUCUACUUAGUGCGGAAUUUUUGGCUAGCAAAGAUAGAGGCAAGCACCACAUGUUAAAGGAUCUAUGACAAUAUGACUUCUAUGUGAAUAUGAACAAACAUGAACCAUUAAGUUGUCUUCCUUGUCCAACGUCAACAAUUUUGGUAUAUAAUAUUUUGAUGGGGGCUCACAAUCACAAAAGAUUUCUAGGAUAGUAUAUUUAUAUGUGAAUCUUCUCUUCCCUUAUUAAUUCUUUCAUGAGUUGCAUCAUUGACCAAUGCUAUGUUUGUCAAUCUCUAAUAAAAUUUUCUACUUAUACUUUUCCUUAUGUGGUGCCAUCACCUACCAUAAGAUUAGCAUAUGAUAUUUUUCUUUUAUUUCCUUUCUUUUUAUUUAUAUCCUUUCUUUUUAUUGCAACAUGAAAGUAAAGAAAUCAAAAACUCAAACUAAACUUUAUUAUAUAUCUUGCACACGAUUACAAGGAUAGAUCACUAAGCAAGCUCUUGAAAAGAAAGGAUCGAACUAAACUUUUAUUCAUUCUAAAGAAAAAGAUUGAACUAAAAAUAGUAAAGGCAAAAAGAUAGUAGGGAUGAUACGACACCGGGGCACCUCCCCCAAGCUUGGCGGAAGCCAAGGGGAGUGCCCAUACUCGAAACUCAAUUUUCCUCUGGUGAUGAAGAAGAUGGUGGUGGUGAUGAUGUAGAGGGCAUGUCCUUCUUCCUUAGCUUACGCUUGAGGAUGGAAUUUUCCUCCUUUAGUUCACCGACCUCCUGUUCAAGCUCCAGUGCCUUCUUGCAUAGAUCUUGCUUAUUCUCCUGCAAAAGAUAGUAAGGUAUGAACUGAAUCUUAGGCCUCUUUGGUUUCUUUGGGAGGCUUGACUUCUUGAAUUCCACAUGCAUGUCCCCAGGUUGAGGUAAUGGAGGUUCGUCCUCAUCUGAGCUCGUCUCCUCCCUUUCCCUAGGAUAAUAGUCUUCCUCUUCCUCUGUGGUCCAGCCAUAGUGCUCUACAUCCCCAUAGGACUUGGGGUUCGAGAUGAAAUCAGCAUCAUAGCUUUCACCCUCAGAGUCUUGGGAUGACAUGAUUUUAGAUCUGACAGGAAAACAGCAAGAAAAGAGAACAGAAGAUUUCUUCGCGAUACGGUGGUCAACAAGUUCGGGGAUUAUAUAAAGGAUUUUUAUCUUGAGGGUACGCUUCCUGGAAGUUUCUUAUUUUCCUAAUUUUCUAAAUAUUCCAAAACUAACAAAAAUAUUUUUGCGGAUUUUUCGGAGUCCGUUUACUUACCCUAUCACGUACCUCCUUAUUUUCACGAUUCUGGAGUGAUCCGGCAGGACUAUUUUAUGUGUUCUUCCGGUGUCAAAGUUUGGGUAAUAUUGAUUUCAACAUUAAUGGGUGUACCUAAGAAAUAAUGCUUUAUUCUUCGCCCAUUAACAACCUUCGGGUUAGUACAUUCGGCAUUAUUUAUUUUAUAGCUCCAGACCGAUAAACCUCCUCGAUAACAUAGGGUCCUUCCCAUUUGAGAGGAGUUUUCCUGCAAAGAACCUGAAAUGAGAGUUGUACAAAAGAACAUAUUCUCCAACUUUAAACUCACGCUUUUGGAUUCUUUUAUCAUGCCAUCUUUUAACCUUUUCUUUAAACAACUUGGCAUUUUCAUAAGCUUGGGUUCUCCAUUCAUCUAAUGAGCUAAUAUCAAAUAACCUCUUUUCACCGGCAAGUCUGAAAUCAUAGUUGAGUUCUUUGAUUGCCCAAUAUGCUUUAUGUUCUAAUUCAAGAGGGAAAUGACAAGCUUUUCCACAAACCAUUUUAUAAGGAGACAUACCCAUAGGAUUUUUAUAUGCUGUUCUAUAAGCCCAAAGUGCAUCAUCUAAUUUCUUAGACCAAUUCUUCCUGGACCUAUUAAUAUUAUUUUGCAAAAUUAAUUUUAUUUCUCUAUUACUAAGUUCAACUUGACCACUAGACUGAGGAUGAUAGGGUGAUGCAAUUCUAUGGUUAACAUCAUACUUGGCAAGCAUUUUACGGAAAGCACCAUGAAUAAAGUGUGAACCACCAUCAGUCAUUAAAUAUCUAGGGAUUCCAAACCUUGGGAAAAUAACUUCCUUAAGCAUUUUAAUAGAGUUUUUGUGAUCAACACUAUUGGAUGGAAUAGCUUCUACCCAUUUAGUAACAUAAUCAACAACAACCAAAAUAUGUCUAUACCCAUUAGAGGAAGGAAAAGGUCCCAUGUAAUAAAAACCCCAAACAUCAAAUGGUUCAACAGCAAGUGAAUAAUUCAUAGGCAUUUCUUGACGCUUACCGAUAUUACCUAUUCUUUGACAUUUAUCACAAGAGACAAACUUACGGGCAUCCUUGAAGAGAGUAGGCCAAUAAAAUCCAGAUUGCAAUACCUUGUGAGCAGUUCUAUCUCCAGCAUGAUGCCCUCCAUAUGCUUCAGAGUGACAUUUCCGAAGGAUUUGUCCCUGUUCAUGCUCAGGUACACAACGUCUAAUAAUACCAUCUACUCCUUCUUUAUAAAGAUGUGGGUCAUCCCAAAAGUAGUGUCUUAAAUCAUAGAAGAAUUUUUUCUUUUAUUGGUAUGUAAAGCUAGGUGGUAAAUAUUUAGCAACAAUAUAAUUAGCAUAGUCAGCAUACCAAGGAGUAUUAUGAGUAACAUUUAUUGCAGCUAACUGCUCAUCAGGAAAACUAUCAUUAAUAGGUAGUGGGUCAUCAAGCACAUUUUCAAGCCUAGACAAGCUAUCAGCUACGGGGUUCUCAGCUCCUUUUCUAUCAAUGAUAUGCAAAUCAAAUUCUUGAAGCAAGAGAACCCAUCGAAUAAGUCUAGGUUUAGCAUCUUUCUUUUCCAUAAGAUAUUUAAUAGCAGCAUGGUCGGUGUGAACAAUCACUUUUGAAUCAACAAUAUAAGAUCUAAAUUUAUCACAAGCAAAAACCACUGCUAGGAAUUCUUUUUCAGUAGUAGCAUAAUUCUUUUGAGCACUGUCUAGAUUUUUACUAGCAUAAUAAAUGACAUUCAAUUUCUUAUCAACUCUUUGUCCUAGAACACUACCAACAACAUAAUCACUAGCAACACACAUAAUUUCAAAAGGCAAGUUCCAAUCAGGUGGUUGAACAAUAGGUGCAUAAAUUAAGGAUUUCUUGAGUGUUUCAAAGGCUUCAAAACAAUCAUCAUCAAAAACAAAAGGAAUAUCCUUUUGCAAAAGAUUUGUAAGAGGCCUAGAAAUUUUAGAGAAGUCUUUGAUAAAACUCCUAUAGAAACCAACAUGACCUAGGAAACUACGAAUACCUUUGAUAUCCUUAGGACAUUGCAUUUUCUCAAUUGCAUCAACCUUAGCUUUGUCCACUUCAAUACCCUUUUCAGAAAUUUUAUGACCCAAGACAAAACCUUCAUUAACCAUAAAUUGGCACUUCUCCCAAUUCAAGACAAGAUUUGUUUGUUCACAUCUCUGCAAAACUCGAUCAAGAUUGCUUAAAAAAUCAUCAAAAGACUUCCCAUAAACAGAGAAGUCAUCCAUGAAAACUUCAACAAUCUUUUCACAAAAGUCAGAGAAUAUAGCAGUCAUACAUCUUUGAAAGAUAGCAGGUGCAUUGCAUAAACCAAAAGGCAUACGUCUAUAAGCAUAAGUUCCAAAGGGACAAGUAAAAGUGGUCUUUUCUUGAUCAGGUUGAGAAACAUGUAUUUGUGAAAAACCAGAAUAUCCAUCAAGGAAGCAAACACUACAAAAAAAGACACAUCCAUGACACUUUGGGCCGAACGAAUUUUUUUUUGUCAUACUUAUGACACUUCUAUGACGAUAAUUGUGACAAAACCCGGUAUCAUCAUAGAUGUGGUGGGGUCCUACUUCUAUGACAAAAAAUCAUGAUGGAAAAUGGGCUUUUCGUCCUGGGCGGGCUGGAGACGCAACUACAUGACAUUCUUUGGGCCGUCCAUGACGGAAAAAACCGUGGUAGAAGCGAGGGCGAGGAAAAUAUCGGGGUGUUCCCGGUUACGGUGGGUGGUCGGGGCCGAGCGAUGCGUGUUUCUCUCGUACACGCACGCGCGUGGGUGCGAGGCGUUGGGCUCUAACUGAACCCGAGCGAGGCGUUGGGCUCUAACUGAACCUGAGCGAUUGCACUGUAGGCUACGCGUUACUGAACCCGAGCGAUCGAAUGAUGGCUGUUAACUGAACCCGAUCGAGCGAUUCCUUUGCUACUGCUGCUAACUGAAGCCAAUCGAUGCUGCCUUUGGAUGAACAGUGAGCAUUGCUGGGGGGGUUUGGAUGAACAGUUCCCGGUGGUGGUGGAUGAACAGAACCCCGUGGUGUGCCUCUGGAUGAACAGGACCCCGAUCGAUCGAGCCGGUUGGGGCUGGAUGAACAGGACCCCGUGCAGGGCAGGAUGAACAGGACCACCCCGUGGAGGGCAGGAUGAACAGUAGACGGUGGAGGGCUGGAUGAACAGUAGCCCGUGGAGGGGUGGUUGAAUAGGAACCCGUGGAGAGGGCUGGUUGAACAGUAGCCGGUGGAGUAGCGCGCGGUGGAGGCUAGAUGAACAGGAACCCGUGGAUGAACAGUCGCAGGUGGAGGCUGGAGGAGGUCGAUGGUGGAUGAAUAGUAGCCCGUGGAGGCUGGAGGGGGUCGACGGUGGAGAUGAACAGUAUCCCGUGGAGUCCCGUUUUGCGGUACGCCACACCCCUCCCGAUGAACAGGACCCCCGUUUCGACCGUAGCGCUCCAACACAAGUCCGUUUCCUCCGUUUUGCGGUACGCCACACCCCUCCCGAUCAACAGGACCCCCGUUUCGACCGUAGGAGGUCUGUUUCCUCCGUUUUGCGGUACGCCAGACCCCUCCUGAUGAACAGGAUCCCGUUUCGAACGUGUCCAGUCGAACACAAGGCCGUUUCCUCCAUUCUGCGGUAUGCCAGGCCUCGUUUCCAUCGGCUGUUCCGUCCAAGCCCUCCCGAUGAACACGACGAUGCAUUCCGUUCUGACCCAGCCGGUUGGCUCCCCAUGAACACGACGACGAUGUUGUUUCUCCGUUCCGACCCAGCCAUAUACACGAGCCCUGGCCGUACGUACGCGCGAGUAGGCGUUCGAGACCCCGCCCGUAUGUACGUACGUGGUCGUAUUUACUUUCUUGCACCCUGGCCGCUGUACGUACGUGUACAUGCUACGUGCGCGCCUCUACUACGACACGUGCGCGCCUCUACAUCGACCAGUAUAUACGUACAUGUUCGUGACCAGAAUGACAACGCUACGUACGCUUCGACCAGGUGGGUCUCGACUGUCGGGCACUUCCUUGCGUGCGAAGAUGUAGCUGGUGGGUCCCAGCAGUCAGGGGGGCGAAUCGUUUUUUUUUGCCCGGACGCACUUCCUUGCGUGCGAAGAUGUAGCUGGUGGGUCCCAGCAGUCAGGGGGAAACAUUUUUUCAUGAAAUACGAUGGCCCGUCCGACGGGUCCCCGCUGUCAGGUGGAGGAAUAUUUAUUUUGCGCGUAAUAAGGAGGCACUUCCUUGCUGCGGCCGUGGACCCAGUUGUCAGCCUCUCCACAUACAGUACUCUUCCGAUGGAAGUCGGUCGUUGACCACAUUGACCACGCCGCGCCGAGAGCACCAAGGCGGUGGACGAUGACGAGGCCUAGGAAGGGGACGACGUGGAGCCAGGGAAGACGCGGCAGUGGAUGCCCACACGGAGAGGAGUACGAGGGUUCACUGGUUCGGCUGCGGUGUGAGGCUGCCAUCGCCACAGAAUAACAGGGGGUGUGGGUGAGUAGAGGGAUGGCCUGGCCAGCGGUGCGAGUAGUAGGGGGCGGUGAGGCCUCCGCGACAUCGCAGUCGGCCACGGGAGGCAGGAGCACGAGGCACGACCGGCGCUGGUUUGGGCGGCUGGAGCAAGAAGACCAGAGGUUGAAGAAGCACUACGACCGUUGGAUGGACAUCGUGCGGUCAAUGGAUCUAGAAUCGUGCAUAUUGACUAAGUUGACAAAGCCCUCCGUCCCCGUCAACUUAGUAGGCCCAUAAGUCAGCCUCCCACUAUACUGGGUCCCAGCUAGCAGGGGGAGUAUUCAUUUUUUGUGUGUAAUAAGGAGGCACUUCCGGUGGGUCCGAGCUGACAGCGGGGGGAACGUUUUUUUUUGCGAAAUACGAUGGCCCGUCCGGUGGGUCCCAGCAGUCAGGGGGAAACAUACGGUGGCCCGUCUGGUGGGUCCCUGCUGUCAGGUGGAGGAAUAAUUAUUUUGCGCGUAAUAAGGAGGCACUUCCUUGCGGCCGCCGUGGACCCAGCUGUCAGCCUCUCCACGUACAGUACUCUUCCGAUGGAAGUCAUUCCUUGACCACGUUGACCACGCCGCACCGAGAGCAUCAGGGCGGUGGACGGCGGCGAGGCCUAGGAAGGGGACGACGCAGAGCCGCGGAAGACGCGGUAGUGGAAGCCCGCGCGGAGAGGAGUACGAGGGUUCACUGGUUCGGCUGCGGUGUGAGGCUGCCGUCGCUGCAGGGCCUGGCCAGCGGUGGGAUUAGUAGGGGGCGGUGAGGCCUCCGCGGUAGCAUAGCCGGUCAUGGGAGGCAGGAGCAUGUGGCACGACCGGCGCUGCUUUGGUCGGCUGGAGCAACAAGACCAGAGGUUGAAGAAGCACUACGGCCGUUGGAUGGACAUCGUACGGUCACUAGAGCUAGAAUCGUUCAUAUUGACUAAGUUGACAAAGCACUCCGUCCCCGUCAACUUAGUAGGCCCACAAGUCAGCCUCCCACCAAGGUGGGUCCCAACCAGCAGGGGGAGUAUUCAUUUUUUUGUGCGUAAUAAGGAGGCACUUCCGGUGGGUCCGAGCUGACAGCGGGGGGAACAUUUUUUUCGCGCAAAACGGUGGCCCGUCCGGUGGGUCCCAGCAGUCAGGGGGGAAACGUUUUUUUUUCACGAAAUACGGUGGCCCGUCCAGUGGGUCCCUGCUGUCAGGUGGAGGAAUCAUUAUUUUCCGCGUAAUAAGGAGGCACUUCCUUGCUGUCGUCGUGGACCCAACUGUCAGCCUCUCCACGUACAGUCCACGUCCGAUGGAAGCCGUUCCUUGACCACGUUGACCACGCCGCGUUCCGUUGCAUGCAUGCGUCCAUGGGCGUGGUGCGUCCCCACUGUCAGCCUCUCACGUGCAGUCAUCUUCCGAUGACUCUCGGUUGUUGACCACGUUGACCACACCGGGCCGAGCGCACCAAAGGACGGUGGACGACAGCGAGGCCCCAGACUGGAACAACCCAGAGAUGGGGAAGACGGGGCAGUGGAGUCGUAGAUGGAGAGGAGUGGGAAACUUGACUGGUGCGGGUGCGCGGCAGCACAGCCGCGGUGCCGCCCACGGGAGACAGGAGCAAGAACAGAGGUUGAAGAAGGAGCACGGCUGUUGGAUUAACAUCCAACGGUCCAUCUGCUAGAAUCAUUUGUUGAUUAAGUUGACAAAGCCCUGCGUACACGUCCGCUUAGUAGGCCCACAAGUCAGCCACCAAAUCUGACGGGUCCCAGCUGUCAACGGGAGGAAUAAUUUUUUCGCAUAACAAGGAGGCACUUCCUUCCGUGCGAAGAUACAGCCGGUGGGUCCCAGCUAUCAGGUGGAGGAAACAUUUUUUCCAGCUUAAUAAGGAGAAACUUUCCUUGCGUGCGACCAUGGACCUCGUGGGUCCCAGCCGUCAGGCUCUCCAUGUAUAGUCCUCUUCCGAUGACUCUCGUUUGUUGACCACGCCGCACCGAGCGCAGCGAGGCGGUGGACGACAGCGAGGCCCGGAUGGGAACGACUCGGAGAUGGGAAGACGCGGCAGUGGAGUUGUAUAUUGAGUGGAGGAGAAGGGUUAUAGCUGGUUCUGGUGCGGCGUGGGGCUGCAGUCGGUGGAGAAUAACAGGAGGUGUGGAGGGGUGGAGGGAUAGCCUGGCCGGCAGUGGGGUAGCGCUUCGCAGCGAUGCGUGCUAAGCAGAGCCGCUAGCCGCCGGAGGCCAGACCAGGCGGUCCCGGUGACGCUGGAGGAAGAAGACGAGAGAUUGAAGGUGCAUGCCGACCAAGUUGACAACGCCCUGCGUAAGCUUCGACCUGUUGGCCCACAUGUCAGCCUGCAAAAAUGUGGCAUAUAUUUAACCCAUCUUUUCUAGAAUGUACAGUCCAUUUGCUGGGCUGGGUGAACAAAUAAUUUCGCGUCAAUGCGGCCCAUUUAUAUUAUCUAAGAAAUCCCAACCCAUUUGCACUUCCUUCAAAUACACGAAUUAGUUGGGCUCGUUAUAUAUAUAAUGUUAUGUUAGAAGGAGCAGUUAAUAUCAAAAAUAAACCGGAGAGGCACAUUUUUUAUAUACAUAAUUAACAAAUUAGCGAUCUAUUGCUCAAAAUAAAAAUGAGCGCGUUAUUAUUACAUUGGUCCUUACAAUCUUCGCAAGCUUUUGUACGCAAUCACCAGGAUUUUCCUUGCCUGUGAGUCAAAAACAACCAGGAUUUUCCUUGCCAACUUCUAUUAAACAUUUACUUUUAUAAGUUAAUAACACGUGGGAUGUUUUUAUAAUGUAUAUAUAAGUCUCUAUAAAAUAUACGAUAAUAGUAAUAAUAUAAAUAUAUAUAAUGUGGUUAAAAAAAUACAUUGGGCUGCCGAUCUUUAAGAAAAAGCCCAUAGGCCGGUAUGGACCUAAAAAAUAAGUUGAAACCACUGUCACCGUAUGUCGUGGGCUACGCAUGUUAAAAUACAAAAAAUAGGCCUAGUUGAUACUUGUUCGCCCUCUGGAAAAAAAGCGACACCAGAUUCCCGAGCGAACUGGAUUAUAAAGGGGGCCGGCGGCACGACUGAAGAAGCACAUCAGGAGCAAUUUUUCUUCUUCAGUGGAUGGCUCUCGAUGGCAUUUUUUUACUUGCCUCUGCACCAUACAACUUGUAUGUUUAGCCUCCCAGUCCGUGGUGGACCAGCAGCCCAUUUGCUGGGCGGGCCAACCUACAGAAACCAGCACUCGAUUUUUCAUCAAGCCCCCAAAACAACGCAAUACUAUGUUUGUUUUGAGGCCGAAAACAUUACGGCAGGGGUUGAGCGGGGGAGGGGGCAAGACAGAGCAAAAAGAUUAAAAAGAGCUGAUGCGUCGUUGCUACCCUAACAAAGUAGGUGCAAUUCUUCUCGGGAAGAAGGUGUGCCGUUGACACCCACACGUCACAUACCCCACAGUAGGCAUACUAACAAGUUCACACACAAGCACAACAGAAAAGGUAAAAAUUUGUAUCAAACUCAGGUUCACAGGACACGUUCAUAUUCAUAGCCAACAUUCACUAUCAACAACUCAAAAGAUUUAUAUAUACACAAGUUCAACAUGUCUAUGGAUCCAAAUGAUUGAUAGAUCACACAACAAUAUUCAUAGAUAAUUCACAAAAAGAUUCAGAUAUACACAUGUUCAGUAUGUUUAUGCGUCCAAAUGAUUGAGAUCACAGCCAAUAUGAUCCAUGGACGAACUUUAAUUACCUAGGGUACAGACUGGCAAAUGGUGUUCAGUCGGAGGUACUUCUUGCUAAAACUAAUGCUUGUACGAGUAACCUUUCGAGUACAUAAGAGGCAGCACAGACAAUCUGAACUUUGCUUGUAGGUUUAUCCUUAAAUAGUGGCCUCGUGCCGAGGGAGGUUUGAGCAACUUGGCCACUACUUUCAUCCAACUAGUUUACUGGCUCAUCUUGGUCCAGUAGCUCGCCAAAAUUCUACAUUGCAGACUGGUAAAUGGUGUUCAGUCGGAGGUACUUCUUGCUAAAAUUAAUGCUUGUACGAGUAAACUUUCGAGUACAUAAGAGGCAGCACAGACAAUCUGAACUUUGCUUGUAGGUUUAUCCUCAAAUAGUGGCCUCGUGCCGAGGGAGGUUUGAGCAACUUGGCCACUACUUUCAUCCAACUAGUUUACUGGCUCAUCUUGGUCCUGUAGCUCGCCAAAAUUCUACAUUGCAGACGAGAAAGGAGGCGGUUGAGAAAAUGAACCACCCAAAUUUUUUGUGCAGUUCAAUUGAAAUGGAGCAUCCCUGGCGUGUAGACUGAUUAAGUGCCAUAUGAAUAUACGCGUCAACCAACUUGUCUAGAACCUUUAGACUCCAUGCCAUACAGUUCACUACCAUAUCUGCCGAUAACCAAAAGGCACAAGUUUGGGACCAAAGACUGGACUGUGUUUUUCUGGGCUAUGCGCCAAGCAAUAUUUUUAGUGUUCACUCUCCUAAUACUUGGAGUUUGACAACUGGUUGACGCCGGCUGAUACUCGAAUGAAUAUAGGCACUUCUUGUCAACAUCGAUGCUUGUCUGAGUGAACUUUGGAGUACAUAGCAGCAACAUAAGUAUCUGUCCAUCUGAUCUUUUUGUGCAGUUCUACUAAAAUCACCCAAUGCAAUGAUUUGCCUGCGAGUUCAGGCUCCAAGUUACUCCUUUACAAAAUCGGCAAACAGUAGCACAAUACCAAAUUACCAAUACAUGACAAGCAUAAUAAUCAGGAUAAAGACCAGUACCAACCUGUGUGAGGUAGCAUAUCAAUUACUUUUUCCUCUGGAAGCCGAGAUAAGCGAAGCGACUGACAACAAAGGAAGAAAGCAGGCCCAGAUUAGCGACUGACAGGAAAGGACGGAAGCUGUCGAGGCAAUGAAGCACCCAAAGUUUUUGUGGAGUUCCACCAAAAUCGAGCAUCCCUGUUGGCACACAUAUUGAGAGAGUGAGAUUACUGUAAUAGUGGGACUAGUUGAUAAAACAUACACUAACAAAUAGAAGCACCCUCAUUAUCUUAAUGGGUAAAGUUAGCAACAUAGUAGUCUUGCUUAAAGAGAGGUAUUAGUUUAUUUAAUCAGUGCCAAUUAGCUCAACACUCAAAGCAUUGCCAUGUAUCAUAGGUUGCAAAACUUUAACGUGCAAAGAUAAAGGAGUUUCUCAUGAUAGUAGCACGAUACAAAUAGAGAUGACAGCAAACUAAUAUGGAUGAAGGCCUUAGGCCCGUACCAACCUGAGGAAAAAAGCUUAUUCAUGUAGUCCCAUAAGAGAUGAUAAAGCACUCACUGGAAUCACUCAAUAGUAUAUAUUUUUGUGCACUUCAAAUGUAUGGUUGAAGUCACUCUUGUUUACCAGUGCUGAGAUUAUAUCGAAAGAUUAUCAAGAACUUCCAGCAGAAUUAAAGCACAGGCUGGGAUACAGUUCAUUGUAUUGUCUUGUGUAGUUCCACUAAAAUGUAUGAUUGGCACAACAUGAUCCCUAUUUGCACAAGUAGGAACAAGGCGAAACCUUCAUUAGCUUAGUGAGAAAGGAUAGAAAUACAUUAGCAUAUUACUCUAACAGUGGCAUAAAAUUCAUGAUGGACAAUACGCACAACAUUGCCUCAUUGAACCAAUGGCAAUAAAUUGACAUGCAAAACAAUAGCACUAUUAUGUCUUGACACUAAUAAUAUUCCCUCCUUGCUCCACCACAUGAUUCACCUCCAUAGACAAACAUACACACGUACAUGAUUCAGCAUAGGGUGCUACUAAAGAUUUGUUUAACUCCGACAGGAAAAUUAGGCAGCAAUAAAUUAGUGGUACUUAAGUACUCCUAAUUAAUUAAGUGAGACAGCAGAAGUGGAAGGGCUCCCUGGAGGAUCGUCUCACAUGUAAGGUAGUCAUUGCCGGAGCCCUUGAAUGGCCUCGACUGAGGCCUCUGGCUUCAGCAAGAUCGCCUUGGCACUGUUUAUUCUUCAACUUCCUCUUCAUGCCCUGUUUCUCAUUCUCCUCACCAGUUGGUGAAACCAAGUACAUGAUUGGCCUUCUAUUUCAGAAUUGGUUUUGUUAGUGAGGGAGUACAAGUGUACUAGUAAAAAAUAGCAUUAUUUUCUCAUGGCAGUCUCAAAAUAGAGAUGAACACAUGCAUUAAAUAUCAUUCUUACCUAAAGGAAGGUUAUGGUGCCAAUAUGGAUGAUGAGGAUUGGAACACAGAUCUCCCUUUGUGCAGUUCCACCGAAAUGAACCAACUGUUCCAUUCUGACAUUCCAGUUAAACAACACAAAAGUCACUUCUUUUAAGAAUCUUGUGCAGUGCACCAAAAGGUCACAAUAGCAACCAGGUGAAAUGGAUAUCCCUGUUUACACAAAAAGCUACAGAGGAAACAGUCAGAGUCUCAAACAAUUACAGGCAAAAACAUUUGGCUAAACUUGUCAUGGCUUAUAAUAGUGGCAUGGCUUCAUUUUUACCAGGGACAUUAAAUUAAGAACAACUAAAUAUUUGGUAUAAGGGCAUGGGACAGUGGGUGCACCAGCAGUCCAGCACCAUGUACCUAAACAGGGGCAUAAAGUGGUGAUUCAUAGUUUGUUGCCUCGAGAAACAAACAUCCAAGAAACAUAUCUGGGUUGGUCCCAUUUUUGUUCACUUUAGCCACCUACUCCUAUGUGUGGAUAGCAAAUCUAGUCCUGGUCAUACCACUGUGUUCAGCGUUACCCCUAUAUUUCCCUUUUCGACCAAGAGACCGGUUGGAUGACCAGUCUGUACUACUUUCACCCCCUUCCUGUUUGUACCAAGUCCGAUGUACUACAUACUAAAUUCCCCCACCCCCACUUUAUUUCUUGUUUGAACCAAGUACAAGAUUCGACUCCAUGAAGUAGCUUUGCCUCUAACAAUAGAAGAAGAAAAUAGGUGACGUUGGACUAUCCGAUCGAGAGGGGCUGAGAGGUAGAAAAUGAUGCACAUGCAGCGACGUAGCGAGCUGGGGAAGUAGAGCUAAGGCGGUUUCGAAGGAAGAUAUACCUGAAGGUCGUCGAGAUGUGGAUAGGUGGGCGGCGGGAGGCCGGAUCCGCCCACACUAGGGCAAUGACGAAGGGAUUGGAGGACCUCCCGCGCCGGCGCUCGGCCAGAGAUAAUGGUGCGGCCGGCAGUGGGUCUCCUCCCUUGCUGUCGACGACGGCCUAAAUGUUGCCCCUCCUCCCCUUCACCGGCGGAGGGGGAUACGUCCGGAUCUGUAACCAGUGGUGAGGAUAGAAAGAUAGUGUUUUUUGAAGGGAGAAAGACAGUGUUACCACCCCUAUCUUGUUUAGAUCUGGAGAGGAUGUGAGUGUGUGAAUAGAGCAACCCUAGCACGCAAGCGCGGAAGCUCCGGCCUAUAUAUACGUAGUGGGGUAGUUUUCCUUCCCCAUCAAAACAAUCGUUUAAAAUUGUGUACUACGUGCCAAGUCGCCGUUUUUUUAGUUGUUGAUUGUUUUUUGAGAUAGCUACCCGCUUGUUCCAAGUGGUGUUACGGUGUGCCAGGUCACACUUUGUAUCGUUCAAGUCUGGUACAAGUCCCUCCAUUAAAUGAACAACCACCCCCUCAUAAAAAUUGUGAACAAGCCCACGGCUAAAAUUAUUGGAAACGUGGGUUGCCCCAACAUGCAUUAUUAUUUAUAUUUUCUACUCCCUCCGUUCCUAAAUAUAAGUCUUUUUUAUUAGCCACACCUAAGACAAGAUUUUUUUUAUUAGCAGUGAACCCCACAUGUCAUAGACACAAAAAGUGUGGCAAGAUUCCCUUAGGCAAGCCAAAGUGUGUCUAACAAUUUGAGCAACUCAAGUUAGGCAAGUGUGGCAAGUGUGGGAAAAAUAAUGUGGCAACAUGAGACAAACAUAGUCACAAUCCAAACAGCCCCGUAAUUUUUGUGACAUGCAUGAAAAUUUGGUUAGUUAAAUUUAUAGUCAAAAUUUGGCAAGGUGCAUCAAAUCAACAGAUGCAAGUAUCAAAAGGGAAGUCACGACAUGCAUGCAUGCGUUGUACUCCCUCCAUUUCCAAAUAUAAGUCUUUUUAGAGAUUGCAACAAGUGACUAAGCAAAAUAUGUCCACAUGCAUCCGUAUGUAGUAGUCCAUUUGAAAUGUGUAAAAAGACUUAUAUCGAGUGCAGUGCUUUGAUGUGUCGCGUCAACUCGUACAAGACCGAGAAGUUUGAUUACUACAACGCCCUCUCCCUUGCGGACUGAGCUCCGGUGCCUUAACUGCACUUGCCUUUAGCUGCAUGACAGGUGGGCCAACCACCCGUUGGGCCCACCUGUCAUAGACGCAAAGGUAGGAGCAGUAAGUCAAUGAAGCUGCGUCCCUCCCUCGCGCAUGAGCGUGGUAGUUGGCAGGACUAGUAGGAGCUUUCGCUGCACGCUUCUUGACGGCGGCGAACUUGCGGAUGGAGUUGACCAUCAUGUCGUCCAUGCGAGAGGCAAAGCCGGCGUCAGCGAGGGCUACGACGCCGGCGGUCGCCAGCACCGUGAGGAAACGCUGCGCGGUGCGGGGCCGCAGGCCGGCGCCUUGGAUGAUUUGGCACAGCCGACUGCCGCUCGCGACCAUCGCCUCCAUAGGUGCUUCUGGCUUCUGGUCACUUGGUCUUUUUUUUAAACGGAACACUCGAUUCCAUAACUCACACAGGUCCAGCCAAGAUGUUGGCCAUACGAACAUUUACAUCAUCUGGCAUGUCCUCUAGCCAGAACUCCUGAUCAACUUGGUGACGGGCACCGUAGGCAGCUAACUCAUGCCCGCGGGGCGAAGCUAAAAGAAACAUGGCUGAAGUUCAGUUGUGCGAAAUCAUGGAUUUCUUGGAGAGAGCAGUGUCGCGCAGAGACUAGGAGUGAGCAGUGUUGCGCAGAGACUAGGAGUAGAUGGAUUGGAGGGGUUGGGAUUUGCCGAUGGUCGGUUUGCUCAACUGCGGCCCCACCUCACAGUGAAAACGUUACUACUGGAAUAAAAAUGCCAUAUACUCCUAUACUAAUAAAACAUUAAGGCCACGAGGCGAUGCAGUGCUGGUUACAGGAGGCAAGAAGAAGAGAUGCAUCCAUCGACGACGUCCACCUCCUCGACUCAGGGCGCCGGCCCACCGAACGGCGGCUAUGUAGCAGCGGCUUUUGUGGCCAGGUCGACGUGCUUCUGAACAAUGGCGUCCAAAGAUUCCAGCCGCUGGAAGAAGGCCAACGUCUUUCUGUCCUCGCUGGCCUUGUAGUGGCCUAUGUAGACAAUUUCCUCAUAGACGUGGAUGUGCAGGUCGACGAUUUCUUGCAUGGCGAGGCGUUGCGCGACGAGCGCGGCCUCGAGGUGCACAUUCUUCGUCGCGACCUCCGGCACCUGCAGGGCCACCAGGGCUUGAAAGAGUUCGUCACCAUGGAGGCCGAUGAGGGUGGCAGGCAAUGAGGAGCCUGGGCGCGCGGGCUGGAGCAGUACGGCAAGGUCGCCCGCGCGCUUCUUGACAGCGGUGAACUUGCGGAUGGAGUUGACCAUCAUGUCAUCCAUGCGAGAGGCGAAGCCGGCGUCGGCGAGGGCUACGACUCCGGCGGUCGCCAGCACCGUCUGGAAACGUUGUGCGGUGCGGGGCCGCAGGCUGGCGCCUUGGAUGAUUUGGCACAGCCGACUGCCGCUCGCAUCCAUCGCCUCCAUAGGUGCUUCUGGCUUCUGGUCACUUGGUCUUGGAUUGGAGCGAGCAGUGUUGCGUAGAGACUAGGAGUAGAUGGAUUGGAGUGGUGGGGCGCCUUUAUAUGAGAAUCCAAACUCUGUUGCAUUCACAUUGUGCUGGCUCUAUUCCGCUUCUCCAAUUAAUUCCCUCUGCAUGUAGAGUAAUUUGAGGAUGCAUCAUUGACCAUUCAACGUCUCGGGAACCGCUACCCUCUCCCUCCUUGGCAUUCAAGCACCUAUGGAGGCGACUGCCGCUCGUGUCUAUCGCGUGUCAGGAGACGUUCCCGUCGACGACGAGGUGCCUAUGGUGACUUCGUAAACUUCAAGAUGAUAGUACUAGUAUACUCAAUAUUGUGCACCGCGACCAAGGCCGAGAGGAAAACGAGAGAACUAUGUAUUUAUUUACGGUGUAGAUUCACUCAUUUUGCUCCAUAUGUACUCCGUCUCGGUGUAGUCUAGUCACUUGUUGAAAUCUCUAGAAAGGCAAAUACUCCUUUCUGGUUUACAGGGCUAUACUAGCAAGUACUCCCUACGUCUGAAAAUACUUCUCAUCAAAAUGGAUAAAAAAGAUGUAUCUAGAACUAAUAUACAUCUAGAUACAUCCUGUUUUAUUCAUUUUGAUGACAAGUAUUUCCGGACGGAGGGAGUACUACAAUAGUGGGCUCACAUAGCAAUUUUGUCUCAUGCAAGAGCCUGGCUAUAUGCGUGCUCCAAGGUUCGCAACUGCCACGUUUGGGUUGCACUUGGUUCUUCGCCUCUUCGAGAAGACAAACAAUGAUGUUACUACUACUGCUUCUACAGUAUCAAAUCCACUGCUGCAUGUCCAUCCACCGCGAGCGGGAGGGAUAGCGUGUUGUAGUACUAUAAGCAAAAGCCUGAACUCGUCUGCGAGCCACCGCACGCAUGGGCGAGGGAGAAGGCGUGUAGUAGUAAAAUCAAGCUUCUCCUCAUUGUACGAGUUGACGCGACACAUCAUAGCACUGGCCCCACAUGGUUGCCUCUAAACUUGGCUGAAAGACCCGCAGUGUACAAUACUCCAUUUGCUGCAACCUCUAACAUUUACCCCACCACAAAUUAAAAUAUAUAUUCCUGUCUUGACCAGAUGAGCGUGCAAACUAGAAUCACCAGGAUGACAGGUAGGGCCAAAAGAUUAGUUUAAUCAAAAAAUAUAGCAUGGAGCCGACCCCAACGAUUUUAAGCUUACAGGCACGGUACACGCUAUCCUAGACUACUCUACACAUGAAAUUGCCACACGAGCGUUCGGGCUGCGCUUGGCUCUUCGCCUCUUCGGGAGUACUACUGCAGUGGAGGAGUACUACAGUAUGCUUCUGGCCAUCUGACACCAAUUGAACUGCUGCAUGUCCACCACGUACGGGAGGGAGAGCGUGUAGCGAACGAAAGCUUCUCCUAGUCCUGCCAGCCACCACACUCAUGGGCGAGGGAGGGACGCAGCUUCAUUGACUUAGUGCUCCUGCCUUUGCGUCCAUGACAGGUGGGCCCAACAGGUCGGUGGCCCACCUGUCAUGCAGCCCAAGGCAUGUGCGGUUAAGGCGAGAGGGCGUUGUAGUAAUCAAACUUCUCGGUCUUGUACGAGUUGACGCGACACAUCAAAGCACUGCACUCGAUAUAUUUCAAUAAUUUGCGUUUACCGAUGCAUUAAUUACAACGCAUGCAUGCAUGACGUGACUCUCCUUUUGAUACUUGCAUGUGUUGAUUUAAUGCACCUUGAAGUAGUAUGAAUAUGUGACGGUAAAGCUUUGUAAUGCCCCGGCCCUAAUAAAGCGAGAGAUGGCUGUGCACGAGGAGGGCGAGAUCAUGCAAACGGAACAGGACCCGACGAUGGAGCUCUCUAUGGUCUCGAUGGACCUCACCUUGCUCCACUGCCCCUUGUGCCUCCGCCCCUUGAAGCCUCCAGUGUAUGAGGUUCGAAUACACCUCAUCCGUUCGGCUGAUCGAGCAAGGUGCAGGUUUCUUGAUUGAUGUGUUGUUCGAUUGAUUUGUGCAGUGCAAGGGAGGGCACCUGGCUUGCGCGGACUGCCGCGUCGAGUGCCCCGGGAACCAGCGGCAGUGCCAGAAGUGCGAGCGCGGCGGCGGCUUCGAUGUGCGGAACACAGCGGUGGACGCCGUCCUCUCCUCGGUGAGGGUGGAGUGCCUGCACGAAGGCUGUGGGCUCUACGUCACUUACCACAAGCUCGCCGAUCACCAAAGCAUGUGUCCGCUCGCGCCCUGCAAAUGCCCCGUGCCCGUCUGUGGCUACGAAGGCCCGCCGCCGGUGCUCUCCCACCACAUCAGCUCCGUGCAUCCCAUGCCCGUGCACAUGAUCCAGUACGGCAAGGCACUCCAGCUGCAAGUGCCACUGCCGGAGCCACGGCUCUUGCUGUUCGCGGAGGAGGACGGUCGCGCGUUUUUCUUGGUCGGCGGCGUGCUCGACAUCGGCGCGCCUAUCGCCGUGUCGGUCGUCUGCAUCAGAGUGGGGGCGGUCCCACUGCCACACUACGUGGCCAAGCUGUGGGCGAACGGCCCGCCGGGGGAGCCCAAAGGCAGGACCGAUGCCGUCAAGGUGGAAAUGGAGGUGACAAGAAGCAGGGAUCCCGGCGACGUCGCUGUGCAGGAGCUGACCUUCUUCACAGUUCCACCCAAGCUGCUGGCCGGGGCUAAGCUGGUGUCCCUCCACAUUCAGAUUGACAAGCUCACGUCCUAAAUGAUUCUGCAGUGCCUUCUGUUUAUCUUAGUAAUAUGCUAAUAUAGGGGUUAGCUCGGUCUACUUUAGCUUAAGAGAUGGUGGGUUUUGGUGGCGAUGCAGCAAUUACCUCGACAUCAGAUCAGCAGUGAAAGUAAUUUCGAACAGUCGAAUGGAUAUUUUGUGUCUGUUGGAUAUAAAGAUCCUUUGGGUAAGAAGUAACAGCUUAUAUGCUUUUUUUUCGAAACGGAACAACGAUACUAGUAUAAUCUUUGUUGACAUGCACUAAUAUUUUCGAAACGGACGUCGGGCUGUAGCUAGAAGGGCGGUUGGGACGCGGCAUCGGCCCAUACCGCUGUGACCCCCGAUUGGGAUGCACCGACUGUGGAUUUUCUCCCUCGCCGAUGUCGACCGCGUCUACGCAGAACAUUGUUCCCUUCCCCCAACUGCGGGACCAAGCCGGAUAUGUGACCAGCGGUGUGGCCACCGUCAUUUUAUGCUUGUGAAGAGAGCAACCCAAGCAAGCAGACUUGUAGCUUAGGCUCCUGCUAGUGUAUGUAUAGUGGUUUUCUUUUUCUCUCCAUAUCAACCAUUUUAUAUUGCGUACGUGUCACUGAAGAGUGAAAUGAUGGUUGCUUCUUCCGACUAACUUACUGUGUGAUUUGACUGCUCCUUUAGUGGCCCCUAGACGUACUCCCCCUACGUGUAUGCAACAGUCACACGUACACAUUAACGCAAAAACGCGCGCGACGCCCUAAUGCAUGCAUGUCCAAGCACACGACAGAACACACACGGUCACGCUCAAGUGCUCAACCUACACGUGCAUGCACACACAUACUCAGCCAGGGUGAGCUAGUGACCGUAUAAACACCAGAAAAUGUAUAUAUUGAGCGCAAUGAGCGUAUUAUGAAGUCCACUGACCGUAUUUUUACAAAUAUACAGCGACAGACAAUGUAUUUAUUUCGUUUGAAAUUAAGCCAUAUUAACCGGAGAGGAGGCAGUAUGGACUAGCAUUACUUUGCUGUGUCCCGUCAACUUGCUGAACGAGGAGAAGCUUGCAGGAUGGGAGAAGCUUGCGCGUAGUGGCUCGCAGGAUAAGGAGAAACUUUUGACUAAUGCAAGCUGUCCUUCGCUCAGGCGGUGGACGUGCAACAGUUAAUUUGGUGUCAGAUUGCCAGAAGCAUACACUAUACUAGUACUAUUAUUGUUGCACUUCCCGAAGAGGCGAACAACCAAGCGCAAAGUUUACUAGUACUACUACUAUAGUCUAUAGAGGUACUAUACUAGUACUAGGAACCGGAUGGAGGAGCGUCUGCACUCUUAUUAUAUUUUUAGAAUGUGAUAAAGCAAUCUUCAACACAUUUGGUUCUCUUCGAGGGUUCUCGCAUGUGAUAAUGGAAGUUGAUUGCAUGGAACACUCGCCACAAUUCUCGCUUAAUUCUGGCUCAUAUCCUGUUACAAAUAGGAGCGCUCGGUAAUAUUGUUGGAAAUAUGCCCUAGAGGCAAUAAUAAAAUGGUUAUUAUUAUAUUUCCUUGUUCAUGGUAAUUGUCUAUUGUUCAUGCUAUAAUUGUGUUAUCCGGAAAUCGUAAUACAUGUGUGAAUACAUAGACCACAACAUGUCCCUAGUGAGCCUCUAGUUGACUAGAUCGUUGAUCAACAGAUAGUCAUGGUUUCCUGACUAUGGACAUUGGAUGUCAUUGAUAACGGGAUCACAUCAUUAGGAGAAUGAUGUGAUGGACAAGACCCAAUCCUAAGCAUAGCACAAGAUCGUGUAGUUCGUUUGCUAGAGCUUUUCCAAAUGUCAAGUAUCAUUUCCUUAGACCAUGAGAUUGUGCAACUCCCGGAUACCAUAGGAGUGCUUUGGGUGUGCCAAACGUCACAACGUAACUGGGUGGCUAUAAAGGUGCACUACGGGUAUCUCCGAAAGUGUCUGUUGGGUUGGCACGAAUCGAGACUGGGAUUUGUCACUCCGUAUGAUGGAGAGGUAUCUCUGGGCCCACUCGGUAAUGCAUCAUCAUAAUGAGCUCAAUGUGACCAAGUGUUUGGUCACGGGAUCAUGCAUUACGGUACGAGUAAAGUGACUUGCCGGUAACGAGAUUGAACAAGGUAUUGGGAUACCGACGAUCGAAUCUCGGGCAAGUAACGUACCGAUUGACAAAGGGAAUUAUAUACGGGAUUGAUUGAAUCCUCGACAUCGUGGUUCAUCCGAUGAGAUCAUCGUGGAACAUGUGGGAGCCAACAUGGGUAUCCAGAUCCCGCUGUUGGUUAUUGACCGGAGAGUCGUCUCGGUCAUGUCUGCAUGUCUCCCGAACCCGUAGGGUCUACACACUUAAGGUUCGGUGACACUAGAGUUGUAGAGAUAUUAGUAUGCGGUUAACCGAAAGUUAUUCGGAGUCCCGGAUGAGAUCCCGGACGUCACGAGGAGUUCCGGAAUGGUCCGGAGGUAAAGAUUUAUAUAUGGGAAGUCCUAUUUUUGGCCACCGGAAAAUGUUCGGGAUUUUUCGGUAUUGUACCGGGAAGGUUCUAGAAGGUUCCGAAGUGGGGCCCACCUGCAUGGGGGGACCCACAUGAACGUGGGUAGUGGGGGCAAGGCCCCACACCCCUGGUCAAGGCGCACCAAGAUCCCACCUUAGAAGGAAUAAGAUCAUAUCCCGAAGGGAUAAGAUCAAGAUCCCUAAAAAGGGGGGAUAACAAUCGGUGGGGAAGGGAAAUGAUGGGAUUUCUUUCCCCCACCUUUGCCAACGCCCCAAUGGACUUGGAGGGCAAGAAACCAGCCCCUCCACCCCUAUAUAUAGUGGGGAGGCGCAUGGGAGCAGCACCCCAAGCCCUGGCGCCUCCCUCCCUCCAAUGACACCUCUUCCUCCCCGCUUGCGCUUGGCGAAGCCCUGCCGGGAUCCCGCUACUUCCACCACCACGCCGUCGUGCUGUUGGAUCUCCAUCAACUUCUCCUCCCCCCUUGCUGGAUCAAGAAGGAGGAGACGUCCCCGCUCCGUACGUGUGUUGAACGCGGAGGUGCCGUCCGUUCGGCGCUAGGAUCAUCGGUGAUUUGGAUCACGACAAGUACGACUCCAUCAACCCCGUUCUCUUGAACGCUUCCGCGCGCGAUCUACAAGGGUAUGUAGAUGCACUCCCCUCUCUCUCGUUGCUAGAUGACUCCAUAGAUUGAUCUUGGUGAUACGUAGAAAAUUUUAAAUUUCUGCUACGAUCCCCAACAAAUAUUUCCUCUUUUUUUUGUUAUUCAGCAUGUAAACAGGUCAGCAAACCUUGCGGCGCAUCUUUGUGCGAACCGUGCUUGCUGCACUUUGAAUUUGCCGAGAGCUGGCUUGAUGAAACACCUCGCUUCCUACUUCUUUUUUUUUGCGGGGUACCUCUCUUCCUAGUGACCAGUGUCUUGGCUGAUCGUCCUAAGAAUGCUUAUAUAUGAAUAAAGCUCUCUCAUUUACCCGCAAAAAAGAUUAAGCCAUAUUAACCGGAAAGGAGGGAGUAUGGACUAGCACUACUUGUUGGUGUGUCCCGUCAACUCACGGAAUGAGGAGAAGCUUGCAGGACAAGGUGAAGCUCGCUUACGCCUUUUGACUAAUGCAACGUACCCUCGCCCAGGCGGUGGACAUGCAUCAGUUCAUUCGGUGUCAGAUUGCCAGAGGCAUACACUGUAGUACCGAACAUGCGGAGUACCAUCAUUGUUCGACUUCACGAAGAGGCGAAGAGCCAAGCGCAAGGUUUAGUAGUACGAGUAGUACUACUACUGGAACCGCAUGGUGGAGCCUCUGUACUCUUAUUUUUCUCAAUCUUUGAUAAAGUACACAUUUAUUCCGGAGAAGGGCGAAAAACGGCAGUCCAACAUGUAAUGAUGAUAUCGAUCAACCAUGCUCGAAUAUAUCUUGGCCUCCGUGCGAGCCCGUCUGUGUGUUCUCGCUCCUCGUCUCUCUCAAGGAACGGCGGGUUGGCCAUUUUACCGUCAAUUGAGAUCGGUUUGCUCACACACCGGUCCCACAUGUCAGUGAUAUUCCAAGAGGAGGUGCGUUGACCGACUGGCCAUACGCGUACUUGGUUUUGCACCUUCAUACUACUCCUCCCUCCGUCACAGUUUACAGGGCGCGCUUCAUUAUGAUGCAUUUCUCUCAAUGCAUUUCCACCACCAGAGAGACUUUAGACGCGUUUGGUUUAAUGCUCAAUUAAUUAGGGCGUGGUAACCGCAAUUUGCUCUCGAUGUAGUACUACGGAGUGGAGUAAGUGCAUGCAUAUGUGUGCCCGGGAUGGAAGCACUGCAUGCAUGUGUGUACCCAAAGAUGUGCUACAUGGGAUGACAGUGGGCCCAGUUGACCGGGUCAACUGCCCAGUCAGCAGAGGCUGACUAGUGGGGCCAGGGGGCUGACUCAGCAGUCAAUAGUUGAACAGUUGACUAGUCAACAGGGUCAACACGGACCCACCUUUCAUGGACUAGGACUAGCCCAACCAGCAUUUGACUGGGUCAACUGGGCCUAGUAGGUCCCAGCUGUGGUGACUGUUAGCUUAACCCGUGGGUUAAUUAAUUUAACUAGUUAAUUACGGGGUGGGGUCGACGUGUCUGUGACAAUAACUAAUCCAGAGUUUAGUUAAUUUAAUUAAUCACUACAGGAAAGGGGCCCGCGUGUCAAUGGGUGUUUAGGGGUGGCUGUUAGUGGCUAAUCCCGUGGGGUCCACCUGUCGGUGACCCACACCGGAGUUUAACGCGGCGGCACGUGCCGAUGGUCUUCGGCGACUAACAGAAGUGGCAGAGGUUCUUAGGGAUUUGCCCACAGGCGACCGUUCGAGCCGCGGCAGGGCUCUACGGCGAGCUGGUGGUGAGGCAUCUCCAAUUCAGUCAAACAUGACAACAAGAUCCAGUUAACUAGGCCCAGCAACGAAAUUUGCUACAAUUCCAGCAAACCAUAGUUCACUUAUCCGAAUCCCUAGAAUUCCAGCAACCGCAUUUGCUAGUGGAGAAAGGAAGGCAGCUCACCUAGGGGCUCGACCACCACCGUGAGGGCGCGGGCGACAGCUGUUGCCGUUGUCGCUGGCGACGAUGAGAUACUUUGAAAUGAAUAUGAUAUUGCCACAACAAUCUUCAUCUCCUCCUCGCAAAGGGCGCCCCCUGCCAUACCGGCCAACUACGCUUCAUGCUCUAUCCACCACGCCUUGUCCUCACCACUACCUCGCCGAUGGAUUCGGAGCCGCCACCGCCGCCAUGCCCAAAAGAGAGGAGAGGGAGAGGAGGAACUCGAGGGAGAGAAAGCGAGGGAGGAGAGUGACGGAGGAAGUGCUCGGGUUGGGCCGGCCCAGUCGCUUCGGAUAGAGCCAUUAACGGCGCGCCGUCGACGCACUCGGACCGCGAGGGAUCGGCCACGUCAAAACAUGCUCAAAAAAUUGCUCAAUGUUUUUGUCAUUGUCAGAUUUUCGGUUCGGUGCGAAAUGUCACAAUCGUAACGUGAUAGUUUCCGCUAAUCAUGACACGAUUGUGGUGCUUCUCGGCCUAAACCAUUUUCUUCUGCGGCUCAAACUCCCAGGUCACGCAUGACGCAAACCAAAUGUGGACGUCGGCCGUCCAAGUCCAAUAACCGAUUUGAGCCGAACGAUUGAAAAAUCCAACGGCUAAUACUGGUAGUAAAGUGUGGCCCGAAUCUUCUAGUGUUUUCUGGGCCUGGACUAAUUUCUCCUCAGGCCCAACAGCUCCACCGGGUCACGCAUGACGCAGACCCAAUAUGGACAGUCCAAGUCCAAUAGCACCACCUCCACGCGGAAACCCCAGCCAGGACAGCAACCCAUUCGCAAUCCCCACCUCUAUAUAAGCGGCCCCGUCGAUCCACACCAAACCCUAGCCGCAGCUCUUCCGUCUCCUCCCGCCGCCGCCGCAGCCGCCGCCUGCCUCGAGCCGCCGUCGCCAUGGGGAGAAGUAAGCAAGCGCUUUACCCUCUCCCUCUGUAUGUUACUCUAGUCUAGCGUUCAUCUGGCUGGUAGCUAUGGUUCGGGCAAUCGUUUGAAUUGGCGCGGUUGCGUGUGAAUCUGGCCUAGAUCCGUCGUAGCCGCGCGGAACCUGUGAUAUGUGUUGCUCCCGUUGUUUAUUUAGUUUCUGUCUGGAUGAUUUGGGAGAACAAAUUCAUGCCCGUAGCUGUUUUCUUGUGGGGAUUCGAAAGAACAUUUGAGUAGUACAAGCUUCGGGUUCAUCCUCUGUUCGGUUCAUAUAAUGGUGCCAGAAAAAUGCUCUAGGCAUCUCAGGUGUUAAUAUUUCCUGUGCUCUUCAUGUAGUAGUUUGCUAGUAAAUGAAGAGAUGUAUGCUCUUGCUUGAAAGUUAUUCUAAUCACUCUUAACACUGCUGUUGUUGGUAUGGUUGUAUGGUCAAUGAUACUCCAUGAAUGUGAAUGAGUAGUUGCUGUGGUUACAAUGGUAUGCGUUCCCUGUUAAUAAGUCGUUCAACCCGCCAACUGCUCAUUCUGAAUCAUGGUAGUUUGUAAUCUCUUGUUUGCCUGUCAAUGGUAACCUAUGUUAAAUUGAGUCUGACUCUACAUGUUACUCAUAUCUAGUGUUGAAUGUGGUGCAAAUUAAAAUGGUUCAUUCUCAGUACCUGGAAUGAUGCACUGUCUGAACUGAGUUGCACAUUCUUUUCAAUGUUAACUGCAUUUAGUUAUUUUCUUUGCAUGUUUGCUGCUUUUAGUUGUUUUGUUCUGCGAAUGACAAAAUUCUCUGGUCAGGACCUGCGAGGUGCUAUCGGCAGAUCAAGAACAAGCCGUACCCCAAGUCAAGGUACUGCCGUGGUGUGCCUGACCCUAAGAUCAGGAUCUAUGAUGUUGGCAUGAAGAAGAAGGGUGUCGACGAGUUCUCUCACUGUGUUCACCUUGUCUCAUGGGAGAAGGAGAAUGUGUCCAGUGAGGCUCUUGAGGCUGCCCGUAUUGCUUGCAAUAAGUACAUGACCAAGCAUGCAGGAAAGGAUGCCUUCCACCUCAGGGUCAGGGUUCACCCGUUCCAUGUGCUCCGUAUCAACAAGAUGCUUUCGUGUGCCGGGGCUGAUAGGCUCCAGACUGGUAUGAGGGGUGCUUUUGGGAAGCCGCAGGGAGUCUGUGCCCGUGUUGCCAUUGGGCAGGUCCUCCUUUCUGUGCGGUGCAAGCCCAACAAUGCCAUCCAUGCCACUGAGGCCCUUCGUCGUGCCAAGUUCAAGUUCCCUGGCCGCCAAAAGAUCAUUGAGAGCAGGAAGUGGUAAGCACUGAAGAUUGUUUAAUGUGCUGAGAUGAUAUGAUAUGCUUGUUUAAAUUUCUGUGCGCCCAUAUCUCUAAUUUGUGCUUCUUCUCUCAGGGGCUUCACCAAGUUCAACCGCAACGACUACCUCAAGUUCAAGAGUGAGGGCAGGAUCUUGCCUGAUGGAGUCAACGCUAAGGUAAAUAUACUUGAUGCUGGGCAAUUGUUUUGUCGAUGUUCUUCUUUAUCCUGCCUUAGUAAACCGUUGUCCCUGCAUCAACUAAUUGUUCAUGUUUCUUGCUUUGCAGCUGCUCGGAUGCCAUGGCCGCCUUGCGAACCGUGCCCCUGGACAAGCUUUCCUGUCUGCCGCAUAAUCUAGCAGAAGAAGUCUAUCCGUUCUAUCAGAACUUAUUUUACUGUGUGGAACUUAGAUUCCAAGUGCCUGUGGUGCUAUGUUAUUUUGUCUGAAUGUUGUGUCGAACCUUGUUAUGGAAGAUAUUAUCUAUUUUGUGAUGAUGGUACUAAUAUGAACCGCCUGUUGAAUCAUUGCCGCUUGAAUUCGUUUGUCAAUGUAUUUUGCUGUGGUGGAUGCUUCAUUUUAUGAAGCUACAUCAGGAAAAUGUUAUACGUUCUUUGAAACAAGCAAAAUUCUGGCCCAGUAAUGUUUUUGAAGUACCAGUAUACAAUUUCCGGAUGUCUAAUUGGUUAGUGUAUCGUGUGCUGGUCAAUUUUGCUGGCGUUUAGGAGAGUAUUACACAAUUUCCGGACGCCUAGUUCGUUCAGUUGGUUGGUGUUUCGUCUGCCGGUGUCUUUGAUGCAUCCGAACUGCGUUUCAUUUUCUCUUUUUUAUAAAAUAUAAAAUUCAUGUCACUUUGCCUUCCUUUUUCCCCUGUAGUUGAUUCUUUUUUCAUCCGUGCCAAAUUGAAUAGCCUGCAGUUGAUGGUUCGAAAUCCCUAGAAUUACCAGCGGUAGGGUGAUCUGAAUUUGGGAACACAAUUGACCAACAUGCUAUCCCAGGGAUAGCAACGUUGGGAUCGGUCUGUUGGAGCCUUUGACGCCGACGAAUCCCUUCGCCCACAAGCGAAAUACCAAUAGACGACCAUCGAAAGCAAGGGGGUAGACCCGGCGAGACGAACAAAAUCCGAACGCAGGAGCAUCGCCCACAGGAACGUUCCAUCGAUCGAUCGAAUUCUCAUUCUGUUGCCCACAAAAUCCAAACGCAAGAGCGACGAGGACAUAAACCCCCUUCCUUCCUUCCUUCUUCCCCUUUCCCCCCUCGGCUGCGAGCGCGGCUCCACGCCUCCCCUCCACCCCCACCCCACCGCACCGCAGCCGGUGACCGGGUCGCGCCAUCGCACGGCGACGCCAGCCCGCCCCGAUGGACCCGCCGCCCCCGCCUCCGCCGCAGCCGGCGCACGGGGGCUACGCCCAGCGCUUCUCCCCCGCCGGCCUCAUCCACGCGCCGCUCUCCGCGCUGCUCGAGUACUCCUCGGGCGUCCUGCGGGCCCAGGCCGGCGGGGGCGGCGGCGGCGGCGGGCCCCAGCGGGGGGAGCCAUCCGCGGGGGCCGACGGGGAGGUGUCGAUUCGGAUCGCCGGGCCCGACGACGCGCCCGGCGCCGGCGCGGGGGACGCGGGAGGAGGGCAGCAGCCCGCGGACGAGGAGGCCCCGGCGGCGCGGGGGGACGAGGCCGGCGCGGGCGGCGGGAGCGGGAGGGGGGACUCGCCGUACCAGGGCUACGACGUGCAGCGCCUGGCCAGGUGGGUGGAGCACGCGCUGCCCUUCUCCCUGCUCCUGCUCGGCGUCUUCAUCCGCCAGCACCUGCAAGGUACGCGAAUCCGCGUGCACCACCUACCCCUUCUCCAUCUCUAUGUAGCGUGAGGGUUUGCCGGCCUCACCAGGCGCUAUACGCGUGAAUUGUGAUGCGAGUUUGGUUCGAUCCAUUCCGUUGUGCGCCUGCUUCACGGCGUGAAAAAGUCGCCGGUCAGAAGAUGAUGGCGAGUUCCUCAUUCCAAUUGAGUUUAUAUUGUGUAGGUUUCUUCGUCAUGAUCUGGAUUGCCGCAGUCAUGUUCAAGUCCAAUGAUAUCUUGCGCAAGCAGACCGCUCUCAAGGUUUGUUUGUGCUUCAUAAUAAAUUGUCUUAUCAACGUGCUUGUUCUGCUUCUAGAGGUUAAUUAAUUGUUCUGGCAAGCAGACUGCUCUCAAGGGCUUGUGCUUAUCUUGUGCAUCAACUUUCUUGUUCUGGUUCUAGUGUCGAGGUUAAUUGGUAUGCUUCUAGAGGUUUGUUUGGAUGUCAUAUUGUCGAUCAUGUUAGUUUUGCACAGCAACUGGCAGCAGAAAUGUGAAUAUCUUCUCGCCAUAUGUAACGUCAUGAUGCACAGCUGCUCUGCAAACCCAGUGAAUAAAUGCAAACCCUUCUGCUGCUUUCAGCGGCACGGCUACAUUGGGUUUGGGUCAGGAUGUAAGUAGAUAAAUUGCGAGCUGGCCACGAGCCUUUAUGUGGGCAUAUGCGUCUGCCCAUGUAACAUUUGGCAACGCCGUGUCCGCCAAAAAUGCACAUCACUUAUCAUUUGAUAUGAAAAGAAAUAUGAAGGGUUUGGUUGUCCUUUCAUGUGUUGGGAAAUGAAUGUGUACAGCUAAGGGCAAUUGAUAACGCCAACGGAUGUCUAAGCCUAUAAGACGAUCUAUUCCAACUCCGAGAAUAAUCCACAAUGACCAUGCCUCCUUACGGUUACUUGAGUAGGUAUUAUCAAAAUGGCACACAAAGAACAACACAUAGAUGUGUAAUUGGUGCCUCACUGAACUGUUGAAGCCUCUUUGGCCUGACUUGCGCUCAUGCUCGGGCGCCAGGAAAGGUGACGCUCUUAAUUAGGCAUAGGAGAGUCGGGGCUUAGCUGUUGCUGAUGAAACCAAUUGCUGGUGUUUGUGGGCUGAGUGCCGCUAAAGCUGUGCGGUGAGCCUCAUAGCAAUUUCAUGCGUCAUUGAGGAAGCAAGCUGUGUGCCAAGAGGUCGUGGGUUGAUGCGACCUCUCUGCAUUGCACUGUGCAGGUGUAAGGCUUGCCUUGUAUAAUCCUUCCCCAGACCCUACCUGGCGUGGGAGCUUCUAGCACUGGGUCUGUCUUUUCUAUUGAGGAAGCGGGCUGGCAGACUGCUGCAGCCAUAUACAUCCUUAACAAUUGGGCCAGGGAUAACUCCAUUUGAUUGUCAAAUUGCCUAGAUAACUCCAUUUGAUUGUCCUCAUAGUGAUCUCACAUGCUUAGAAGAGCUGGAAACACUGUAGAUAUUUUGGUAUGGAUGUGUGCUCUAGAAUGUAACUAUCAUGUCGUUUCCUCUUUAAGUUAAUGCGGUCAACAUCAAUUAAACAAGAUCUUCAGCUGAUCUGUCACUUGUAUUUAUUUUUCUUAUUUCAGGGGGAGAGGAAAAUGCCAAUGCUUAUCGGGAUUGUAACAGUAUUCACCAUUCACGUGUUUGGAGUCUACUGGUGGUACAGGAAUGAUGACCUUGUUAGACCUUUGGUGAUGCUUCCUCCAAAAGAAAUACCACCAUUCUGGCAUGCUAUAUUUUUCAUCGCUGUGAACGGUACUCUCUUUUCCCUCACACAGCAGGAUUUCUCUGUUUGGGGCCUCUCUGCUUCAAAUUAUUCCAUAUGAUUGUAAUAUGAGACCUUGAAAAACUUCUAUGGUUUUCUAUGAUGCACUCAAGACAUCCUUUCGAUCAUGUUGUUUCAAGAGAGGGCAUGACAUUGCAACCCAAUGGUUUUCCUAUUUAAGAGUUUUUUAGGUCCUGUGAACCGAUGAGGCCCUUGGUCAUUUCAUGAACUAGGCUCAGUCAGUAACUCAUUUGUGGAAAAACUUGAUGAUGUGUGUAUCUGUGUGUUCUGUUUUGUUUUGAAGCGGAUAACUUUGCCCUGCGUUUCACUUGGAAAUAACUUAUGUUUGUUGAAUAGUAGGAAUUUAUGCACCAUUGCUAUCUGUCCAUAACUCUUAAACUAGCACUGCGCUCUUUAAAAUUUCUAAUCAGGCUGACUGCUGUUUUGUGCUCCACAGAUACAAUGGUCCGGCAAGCUGCUAUGGUUGUCAAGUGUGUGCUGCUCAUAUACUACAAAAACAGCAAAGGUCGUCACUAUCGUAGACAGGUAAUCUGCUGUACAUUAUCAUUGUUCAGCUAAUUAUGUAAAUUUUACUAGUUUCGAUGGAGAGAUGUACAGCCAAGCUUUUCUCGUUGUAACUCAACUUUCUCUUUAGGGUCAAAUGUUGACAGUUGUGGAAUAUUCCCUUCUUCUGUACCGUGCGUUGUUGCCGGCUCCUGUGUGGUAUCGUUUUUUCCUGAACAAGGAAUAUGGAAGUCUUUUUUCAUCUUUAACAACUGGAUUGUACCUUACUUUCAAGGUGGCAUCAAUGGUGGAAAAGGUACUUCUAGUUCCCUUGUUCAUUUCUUAACCGAUUCUGGGUUUAUAAUAGCUGACAUUACUGCUGCUUUCUACCAGGUUCGUUCACUUUUGGCUUCAGUGAAUGCGCUGUCUCAUAAGGACUUGCAUUAUGGUUCACAUGCAACAACUGAGCAGGUAAUGCAGUGUUAGGCUUCUAGGCGCAUGAGUGAAAUGUGUUGGUGGCAUAUGCAUUCUUGGUUUAUAUCUCUGGAGCUUCUAGCUAAGAAAGUCUGCAUUCAUUUCACUAUAUGGUAUGCAGGUUCUUGCUGCUGGAGAUCUGUGUGCUAUAUGCCAAGAAAAGAUGCAUACUCCCAUCCUCCUGCAGUGUAAACAUAUCUUCUGCGAAGACUGUGCCUCUGAAUGGUAUAUCCCAUACACCUUUGUUGUCUGGUUCUUGAUGCUUUGCUGGCAUCUACUCUAACAGUUACCAAAUUGGAACUUCUCAUCGCUUGCCGAAUGAUGGCAGGUUGGAGCGGGAGCGGACAUGCCCGUUAUGCAGGGCGCUGGUGAAGCCAGGGGACAUCCGGUCAUUCAGCGACGGUUCAACGACCCUCUUCUUUCAGCUCUUCUAACAAGAAACAAGAAGCGCUAACCUUCGGCCUGCAGAUGUUGGAUCGCCCCCUGUUACUCUCCAUCAGCCUGCCGUGUGCUGAGACUUAUUCCAGUCCAGGUCCUUUUCCGCCACUUCGUGACAAGUAGUAGGUGCCGUGGGUGUGCAUAUUACCCUGUAUAGGUCCUUGCGGGAUUCUCCAUCAGAAAAAAGAGGAAUGUUAUGAUGAAAUAACUGAAUCUAUAGAGGUGAAUUUCCAUUAGCAUGUGGCUGGGUGGGUGCCGCCACAUCUGCAAAAUUCAGAAUUGACCUUAUACAAGAUCACAAAUGUUAACUCUUGACUCCUGAGCCAACGUAGCUUGUUGCUUGUAAAAUGAGAUGAACAUAUCCCUUUAUUUCCUGCUUGUGUCACAUGAGUCGCAUCAUCAUUCUUGCCACCUAAAAUAUGUCUUCUAGUAAUUUCGGCGAAGGAGUUGGGUCUGAUUUGAUAUAGUGAGGUAUGUUUUGCUUGCUCCAGAUUUAGCCAAUAUUGGCACCGAAAAUGAACCAAAGUAGGCAAGAUGGCAUGAACCCGACGGGCAAGGCAAAAGCCUGUUUGUCAUAACCAGAAGGUUGGUAGAAUUGAUUUUGGGUAGCAGGCAAACAUACCCUAGACCCCGACAGCACUAAUGUGUGUAAUAUUAGUUGUGUGCUGUUGAAUAGUUAUUCUGGGCGUGGACGUUAUUAUGUCGACAUCACAGGAAGGUGCACAAGAAUAUCCUGUUAUGCCGGAGCAGAGGGCAAGGGGAGAACAACCUGCCCGGACGCCCGAACGUUGCCUGAACUGACUGAAAGAGAUGAGCUCUAUAGUAGAAGUUGAUGUUAUUUUUUAGGAAAGACGGUCAAUUUAUAUCUAAUGAUCAUCAAGGAAAACAAUAUAGCUAGUACAAUGGAUAGACAAUAAGUCAUAAAACAACCAGCAAAUAAUAAAAUUACAACCAAACCAUGCUGAUUGUCUUCUUCCUUUGAUUGUAUGCUGUCUGUCGAAGCUUAAAAAAUUGUACCGAAUUGACAGUAAGAGAAAUGUACACCCUCUUAAUACCGGCCUUUGAAGGAGAAACCGAACCAUGCCAUAGUAACAAAUCAAAAGAGGAGGUUGAAAUCACUGCACCAAGAGCCAAGCAACUACUUCCCUUGAUUGAACCAGCACUUUUCGGAUUCUCGUUUGGAUAGGUACCUAUCUGAUCGCGACUUUGAUUUCACAUAUUGAAUAUGAAGACAACCACAAAAUCUGGCAACGUCUGCCCUUGCAAGCCCUUCGUCGGCGUCUGAUCGACUAUCGUCAAGGUAGGCAGAGCCCGGAGAGACCUUAUUCCAAUGCACCAUCGCCGCCACCACCUCGUCAGUACCGCUAGGGAAACAAAAUCUAAGGGAAACAAGGGCAUAGCGAUGGCCCCCCACUCCUCUAAUUGCCAACGAGAUCACCGGACAAGAGAGGUGAGGUGAGAGCGCGGCCAGUGGCGGAGCUUGGAAGAAAAAGCUGGGCGGGCCAGAUUAAUGCUAAAAAAAUCUUCGCUCAAUGUGAUUGGCCUUGCCAUGGAUAGCUACGUUGCAAUUUGUAAAAUGUAAAGAAAACUUGCCGGCCAGAUCACAUUUGCUGUCUUUCAGUCUUGCAGACUUGUAAUUGCAGGGAAAUGGAGAUGCAGUGUUGGAUUGCUAGUUCGCGUUGCCUUCAUACUUUGGUCGCCGGCUGGCCGCUGCUCCUAGCUGUUGGACCUCUAGUGACUGGCGAUCUGGCCGGCGAUAUGGUGAGUCGAGGCAGGGAGUUGUCUAUGCGAGUAACGCCGGCUGCUCCUGCUGAUUGCUGCGCGCCGCCGUGCGAGACCUUUGAGGCUGAUCGAUUGCUAGUGGAGUGGACUGGUGGAAUUCUGGUGGACUGGACUCUAAAGCACGAAGAAACUGCAAAAUCCUGGGCGGGCCAUGGCCCAGUCUGGCCCCAACUAAGCUCCGCCCCUGAGCGCGGCUAUGGUUAGGAAUGAAAGAACGAGGGUCGUGGACUAAAAAAUUCUCUAGGAUUUCCAACCCACUCCAUAUAGAAUCUCUGUAGAAAACACACCAACGGCUUUGGCUAAGGGCAUGUACAUUAGUGUUGAAACACGUUGUCCAUAAUAACUCUCCACAUCGCCUAUAGACAUCAUUAGAAACACACCCUACGAUAGUCUGACUCUUUGCUACCCACAAGGCCCUAAAAUCACAAAAUUAUGGAAUUGGUGGGUUUGGAACGGAUCCUCGUGUAGGCCCUCGUGUCACUCACCAGGGGCAACUCGGGCAAUGACCUAGCCUAGCCGCCACCGCCACCCUUCUCCUCCUUCCCGCUCCUCGUCGUUACUAGAGAGAGCCGGCGGGCUGUUGGGGAACGUUGCAUGAAAAACAAAAAAAAUUCUACGCACACGCAAGAUCUAUCCAUGGAAAUGCAUAGCAACGAGACGGGAGAGUGUGUCUACGUACCCUCGUAGACCGUAAGCGAAAGCAUUUAAUAACGCGGUUGAUGUAGUCGAACUUCUUUGCGAUCCAACCGAUCAAGUACCGAACGUACGGCACCUCCGCGUUCAGCACACGUUCAGCUCGGUGACGUCCUCGCCUUCUUGAUCCAGCAAGACGGAUGAGGUAGUGGAUGAGUUCCGGCAGCACGACGACGCGGUGACGGUGGUGGUGAUGCUAUCUGAAAGUGCAACUAAUCCCCGGGUGGUUUUGGUAAUUCAUAACUCAUUGAACUAAUAUCCAUUCAAGUUAAAUAUUUCAGAAAGUUCAAUAAUAUUUCAGAAAGUUCAAUGAUUGGCAUGGCAUGGACUAGAGAUGUGGACCCCUCAAAAUGCUAAGGACAAAGAUUGGCAAAAGCUCAAGAUUCUUCAUUUCUAUUUUAGUGAUCCAAGAUCACACUGAGUCCAUAGGAAAGCCAAUACUAUUGAAAGGGGAUGCUGUGUUGCUUAAUGGUCUAGUUGCUCAAAGUGCUUAGUGAUAUUGCUCUAAAAGCCCUCAACCACUUUCUCAUUUCCAAAUAUGUCCAAAACCCAAAGUCAAACUCGGCCCACCGAACCAUUCUAUCCGGCGCCACCUAGUUCAGUUGAUAUAGCCACUGCCAGAAACCCUAGACAAUUCAGUCACACCGAUACGGAUCUCGGUCUCACCGAGAUGGCCUUGCAAACUCUCUGUUGCCCAUUGCAACUAUUUCGAUCUCACCGAAAUGUGUGAUCGGUCCCACCGAGUUUGUUUGACAUCCUCUCUAUUGCCUUAUUGCUUCACUUUGGUCUAACCAAGUUGAUGCAAUCGGUGCCACCGAGUUGAUGUUUGCCCUAAGCCCUAGCACAUCGGUCCCACCGAGUUAUUCUCACCGGUCCCACCAAGAUUCCUAACGUUCAGAUUUUGAACUAAAUUGGUCUCACCGAGUUCUUCUAUUCGGUCUGACCGAGUUGGGUCAAAUGUGUGUAACGGUUGGAUUUUGUGUGGAGGCUAUAUAUACCCCUCCACCCCUUCUCCAUUUGUGAGAGAGCCAUCAGAACGUGCCUACACUUCCCCUACUCAUUUUCUGAGGGAGAACCACCUACUCAUGUGUUGAGACCAAGAUAUUCCAAUCCUACCACUAGAAUCUUGAUCUCUAGCCUUCCCCAAGUUGCUUUCCACUCAAAUCAUCUUUCCACCAUAGCCAAAUCUGUGAGAGAGAGUUGAGUGUUGGGGAGACUAUCAUUUGAAGCACACGAGCAAGGAGUUCAUCAUCAACACAUCAUAUAUUAUCUUUUGGAGAGUGGUGUCUCCUAGAUUGGUUAAGUGUCGCUUGGGAGCCUCCGACAAGAUUGUGGAGUUGAACCAAGAAGUUUGUAAGGGCAAGGAGAUCGCCUACUCUAUGAAAAUCUACCCGAGUGAGGCAUGUCCUUCGUGGGCAAUGGCCAUGGUGGGAUAGACAAGGUUGCUUCUUUGUGGACCCUUCGUGGGUGGAGCCCUCCGUGGACUCGCGCAACCGUUACCCUUCGUGGGUUGAAGUCUCCAUCAACGUGGAUGUACGAUAGCACCAUCUUCAGAACCACGCCAAAAAUCUCUGUGUCUACAUUGCGUUUGCCUUCUCCAAACCCCUCCCUUUACCUUCAUAUGCAAUGUUUUACUUUCCGCCGCUACAUUCUUAGAAUUGCAUGUGUAGGUUGAUUGCUUGACUUGUACUAGUUGCUAAAAUCUGCCAAUAAUUAAAAUUGGGAAAAGGCUACAUUUUUAUUUGGUCAAGUAGUCUAAUCACCCCCCUCUAGAUCUACUUUCGAUCCUACAAUUGUAUCAGAGCUUUGGUCUCCAUUUGCUUUGAUUUCCCUAGAUUUGGUGAUCAUAGCCUUGGUUUCACAACCUAGGAGAGUAUGACGUCUAGCAAGGAAAAUUACCAUCGUAGAGGUCCUUACUUUGACGAUACUAAUUUUGCUAGUUUGAAGCAUACGAUAAAAAUGCAUAUUCUUGGUCAUAACCCCGCCGUUUGGGCUAUUGUGCGAAUUGGCUUGCAAGAUGAACACUUCGAGGAUGGAAGAGAACCAAAUCGUGAUGCGUCCGCCGAAGAAUUGAAGAUGUUGCAAUACAACGCUCAAGCUUGCGAUAUUCUCUUCAACGGAUUGUGCCCCAAAGAAUUCAACAAAAUCAACCGCCUUGAGAAUGCAAAGGAAAUUUGGGAUACUUUGGUUGAUAUGCAUGAAGGUACCGAGUCCGUCAAGGAAUCCAAAUUGGAUGUGCUUCAAAUUAAGUCAACUUGAUAAGUUCAAAAUGAAGGAUGGUGAAGGAGUCGCUGAGAUGUCCUCUAGGCUUGCUCUCAUCACAAAUGAGAUUGCCGGCUUAGGAAGUGAAGAGAUGAUCGACAAAUUCAUCAUCAAGAAGAUCCUAGGAGCCUUGGAUGUAAAAUAUGAUACCGUGUGCACCUUGAUCCAAAUGAUGCCCAACUACAAAGAUCUCAAGCCAACGGAAGUCAUUGGUAGAAUUGUUGCUCAUGAGAUGUCACUCAAGGAUAAGGAAGAGCUUCACAACAAGUCAAGUGGUGCUUACAAAGCUUCAUGCGAUGCUCCUACAACAUCAAGUGAGAAACAAAUCUUCAAUGAAGAAUUGAGCUUAAUGGUGAAGAACUUCAACAAAUUCUACAAGAAUAGAAGCAAAGAGAGAAGUUCCAAGUCAAGGUCCUAUAAUGACAAAAGAUCUUCUAGUCGUGAUCGCAGUUGCUACAAUUGUGAAGACCCGGGCACUACUCCAAUGAGUGUACGGCUCCCUACAAGAGAAGAGAAGAUUCACCAAAGAGGAGAAGUAAAAGAGAUGAAUCACCACCAAGAGAGAGAAGGAGUAGAGAUGAUCGUUGUGAACGAAGACCCUCUCGUAGAAGCAAGGAUUCGGAAAGGAAGGACAAGUCAUCAAAGAGCUACACAAGACGAAGACAUCAAGCUCAUGUUGGUGAAUGAGUAUUCGGUUCCGACUCCGACAACUACUCUGAGAGAAGCUAUCACUCCGACUCCGAAUAUACUCAAGAUGAAGGUGUUGCCAGUCUUGCACUUGUGUCAUCCAACUCCUACGACAUAUUUGACUCACCAAAUGAAGGAAUUGGAAGAUGCUUCAUGGCUAAAGGUCCUAAGGUAUCACACCCCGAGUAUGUUGAUUUCAAUAGUGAUGAAGAUGAUUUGCUAAGUGAUGAUGAUUUACUUGUUGACAACACUAGUGAUGAAAACUAUUAUGAAAUUGCUAUUAAUCAUGCUAAUCAAGAUGAAACGAAUGACAAUGAUAAGAAGGAGAUUGAGCGUUCAACUAAAGAACUAAACAGUCUUAAGUUAGCUCAUGAAACAACUCUAGAGGAUCAUAUAGAGCUCUUAAGAACUCAUUAGAAGCUACGCUUCGAGAAGCUAAAUUUAGAGCAAGAGCAUGGGUUCUUAAAAACAAUCAAUGAUGAUCUUCGAAAGAAGAGUUCUUCUUACAUUUCCAAGCGUUUACUCCUGUCUACUUAUAUGCCACAAGUAAAAUCUAGCAAUAAGAACAAGAAAAAUUCUUCUUCUAGUAGUAACAAUAACAAUGUUAAAUCCGAUAUUGUUGCUUCUAGUAGUUCUCUUGAUUCCACUAAUGAUUCUCUUAGCCAAGUUACACUUGAGCAAGAAAAUAGCUUAUUAAAGGGAAUUAUAGAGAAAGGUAUUCACAAAAGCCUUGUCGGAAGUAAGCAAUUUGAGGAAAUUGUACGCAAGCAAGGAAGGCACCGGAAGAAUCAAGGUGUUGGUUUUGAACGAAACUUCAAUGCCAAUGGAGUUGAGUGGGAAGAAGAUCAAUACCCCAAGACGAAGUUUGUUCCUCAACAAGAGAAGUAUGACCCUACUUCUUUCAAGGGAACACAAGCUCAAGAUGAUCUUCCAGCACAAGACCACAAGCUAAAAGGCAAGGACAAGCUUCAAGAGGAAAUUGAUUCAUUUGAAGAAGCUCCUAAGGCCUUGGUCAAGUGGGUUCCCAAGACUACAUCAAGUUCUACUUCAUCAAGUACGACUACAACUCCAAGGAUUCCCAUCAAGUUGAUGUGGAUCCCAAAGAAGAAGAACUAGAGAGUUCUUGAGGGUGACUCUGCCAACAUACUUCACUCACAUUCAUUUUGGCAAGCACAAGUGCAACCAACUUCCAUAUCUUGCACUAGUUCAUGGAGUCACAAACCCUCUUGUUGGUAAGACAAGGGACAAGGUAACCUAAUGCUUUCAUGGACAUCAUCAUAUGUGUGUUUCGCUCUAUGCCUAUGGAUAUCCUUGUGGGACUAACCCAUGUAGGCAGUGAAAGUGCAACUCACUCCAAUGGAUUGCUUCAAAUGAUCUACAUCAACAUUGAGCAUCCACAUCUUUAACACCUACAUGAAGUCAUCAUCGACAAAAGCCAAGGUUAGUUCAUCCCUCUAAGUGGGGAUAUCACAUCUAGGGGGAUCUUUGCUCUAAGAAUUGAGCUAAAGCAACUCUAAUGGUGUGAACACAACAAUGCUUUAUGUAAAAGUGGCAACCCCACUUGUGUUUAAACGAUGAGUAUGACCUACGAUCAAAUAUUCUCAUUUGACUCCCCAGUCAAUAUACUCAUAUAUAGAUGACCUAGUCAUCGCCAAUUGCUUGAUAGAUGCUAGAGUGUUUGUGCAUGCUUUGCCACAUAAUUUAUUUGCCAUCUUAUUGUGUGAGCAUGUUGGUUGCAUAAUUUUCUUCAUUCGAGGACAUCCAUUUGUUGCUUUGAUUGUUUGGUUUUUCUUUUUGCCAAACGGAUGGACAAGAAUGCUUAAGUGUUGGGGAACGUAGUAUUUCAAAAAUUUGCCUACGAUCACGCAAGAUCUAUCUAGGAGAAGCAUAGCAACGAGCAGGGAGAGUGUGUCUACAUACCCUCGUAGACCGAAAGCGGAAGCGUUUAGUAACGCGGUUGAUGUAGUCGAACGUCUUCGCGAUCCAACCGAUCCAAGCACCGAACGUACGGCACCUCCACGUUCAGCACACGUUUAGCUCGAUGACGUCCCUCGUACCCUUGAUCCAGUUGAGGCCGAGGGAGAGUUCCGUCAGUACGACGGCGUGGCGACGGUGAUGAUGAAGUUAUCGGUGCAGGGCUUCGCCUAAGCACUACGACGAUAUGACCGAGGUGUGUAACUGUGGAGGGGGGCACCACACACGGCUAAGAAAAAUCUUGGAGUGCCUUUGGGGUGCCCCCUGCCCACGUAUAUAAAGGAGGGAGGAGGAGGUUGCCGGCCUAGGAGGGGCGCGCCUAUAGGGGGAGUCCAACUAGUAUUCCCAAUCCUAGUUGGAGUCCCCUUCCUUUUCCAAGAGGGAAGAGAGGGAAGGAGUAGGAGAGGGAGAAGGAAAGAGGGCGGGGCGUAGCCCCCUCCCUAGUCAAAUUUGGACUUGCCAUGGGGCGGGGGCGGCCACCCCUUGAGGCCCUUCUCUCCUUUCCCGUAUGGCCCAUUAAGGCCCAAUACUUCCCCGGCGAAUUCCCGUAACUCUCCGGUACUCCAAAAAAUACCCGAAACUCGGAACCUUUCCGAUGUCCGAAUACAGCCUUCCAAUAUAUCGAUCUUGUACCUCUCGACCAUUUCGAGACUCCUCGUCAUGUCCGUGAUCUCAUCCGGGACUCCGAACAACCUUCGGUCAUCAAAUCACAUAAACUCAUAAUACAAAUCGUCAUCGAACGUUAAGCGUGCGGACCCUACUGGUUCGAGAACUAUGUAGACAUGACCGAGACACAUCUCCUGUCAAUAACCAAUAGCGGAACCUGGAUGCUCAUAUUGGCUCCUACAUAUUCUACGAAGAUCUUUAUCGGUCAAACCGCAUAACAACAUACGUUGUUCCCUUUGUCAUCGGUAUGUUACUUGCCCGAGAUUCGAUCGUCGGUACCACCAUACCUAGUUCAAUCUCGUUACCGGCAAGUCUCUUUACUCGUUCCGUAAUGCAUCAUCCCGUAACUAACUCAUUAGUCACAUUGCUUGCAAGGCUUAUAGUGAUGUGCAUUACCGAGAGGGCCCAGAGAUACCUCUCCGAUACACGGAGUGACAAAUCCUAAUCUUGAUCUAUGCCAACCCAACAAACACCUUCGGAGACACCUAUAGAGCAUCUUUAUAAUCACCCAGUUACGUUGUGACGUUUGAUAGCACACAAGGUAUUCCUCCGGUAUUCGGGAGUUGCAUAAUCUCAUAGUCAGAGGAAUAUGUAUAAGUCAUGAAGAAAGCAAUAGCAAUAAAACUUAACGAUCAUAAUGCUAAGCUAACCGAUGGGUCUUGUCCAUCACAUCAUUCUCCUAAUGAUGUGAUCCCGUUCAUCAACUGACAACACAUGUCUAUGGUCAGGAAACUUAACCAUCUUUGAUUAACGAGCUAGUCUAGUAGAGGCAUACUAGGGACACUUUGUUUUGUCUAUGUAUUCACACAUGUAUCAAGUUUCCGGUUAAUACAAUUCUAGCAUGAAUAAUAAACAUUUAUCAUGAUAUAAGGAAAUAUAAAUAACAACUUUAUUAUUGCCUCUAGGGCAUAUUUCCUUCAGUCUCCCACUUGCACUAGAGUCAAUAAUCUAGUUCAGAUCGCCAUGUGAUUUAACACCAAUAGUUCACAUCACCAUGUGAUUAGUUCACAUCGCCAUGUGAUUAGUUCACAUCGCCAUGUGACUAAUACCCAAAGGGUUUUACUAGAGUCAAUAAUCUAGUUCACAUCGCGAUGUGAUUAACACCCAAAGAGUACUAAGGUGUGAUCAUGUUUUGCUUGUGAGAGAAGCUUAGUCAAUGGGUCUGUCACUUUCAGAGCCGUAUGUAUUUUGCAAAUUUUGUAUGUCUACAAUGCUCUGCAUGGAGCUACUCUAGCUAAUUGCUCCCACUUUCAAUAUGUAUCCAGAUUGAGACUCAGAGUCAUCCGGAUUCGGUGUAAAAGCUUGCAUCGACGUAACUCUUUGCGACGAACUCUUUAUCACCUUCAUAACCGAGAAAUAUUUCCUUAGUCCUCUAAGGGUAAUUUUGACCAAUGUCCAGUGAUCUACUCCUAGAUCACUAUUGUACUCCCUUGCCAAACUCAGGGCAGGGUAUGCAAUAGGUCUGGUACACAGCAUGGCAUACUUUAUAGAACCUAUGACUGAGGCAUAGAGAAUGACUUUUCAUUCUCUUUCUAUUUUCUGCCGUGGUCGGGUUUUGAGUCUUACUCAACUUUACACCUUGCAACACAGGCAAGAACUUCUUCUUUGACUGUUCCAUUUUGAACUACUUCAAAAACUUGUCAAGGUAUGUACUCAUUGAAAAAACUUAUUAAGCGUCUUGAUCUAUAUCUAUAGAUCUUGAUGCUCAAUAUGUAAGCAGCUUCACCGAGGUCUUUCUUUGAAAAAUUCCUUUCAAACACUCCUUUAUGCUUUCCAGAAAAUUCUACAUCAUUUCUGAUCAACAAUAUGUCAUUCACAUAUACUUAUCAUAAAUGUUGUAGUGCUCCCUCUCACUUUCUUGUAAAUACAGGCUUCACCAAAAGUCUGUAUAAAACCAUAUGCUUUGAUCACCUUAUCAAAUUGUAUAUUCCAACUCCGAGAUGCUUGCACCAGUCCAUAGAUGGAUCGCUGGAGCUUGCACACUUUGUUAGCACCUUUAGGAUUGACAAGUGAUACGUCUCCAACGUAUCUAUAAUUUUUGAUUGUUCCAUGCUAUUAUAUUAUCUGUUUUGGAUGUUCAAUGGGCUUUAUUAUACACUUUUAUAUUAUUUUUGGGACUAACCUACUAAUCGGAGGCCCAAUGCAAAUUGCUGUUUUUUUUGCCUAUUUCAGUGUUUCAUAGAAAAGGAAUAUCAAACGGAGUCCAAACGGAACGAAACAUUCAGGAGAGUUAUUUUUGGAACAAACGCAAUCCAUGAGACUUGGAGUGGACGUCAAGAAAGAACCGAGGAGGCCACGAGGCAGGAGGGCGCGCCCAGGGGGGUAGGCGCGCCCCCCACCCUCGUGGCUCCCCUGACUGACUUCUUUCAUCUAUAUAUACCCAUAUACCCCAAAAACAUCCGAGAGCACCACGAAACCCUAUUUCCACCGCCGCAACCUUCUGUACCCGUGAGAUCCCAUCUUGGGGCCUUUCCCGGCGCUCCGCCGGAGGGGGAAUCGAUCACGGAGGGCUUCUACAUCAACACCAUAGCCUCUCCGAUGAUGUGCGAGUAGUUUAUCACAGACCUUCGGGUCCAUAGUUAUUAUCUAGAUGGCUUCUUCUCUCUCUUUGGAUCUCAAUACAAAGUUCUCCUCAAUCUUCUUGGAGAUCUAUUAGAUGUAAUUCUUUUUGCGGUGUGUUUGUCGAGAUCCGAUGAAUUGUGGGUUUAUGAUCAAGAUUAUCUAUGAACAAUAUUUAAUCUCCUCUGAAUUAUUUUAUGUAUGAUUUGUUAUCUUUGCAAGUCUCUUCGAAUUAUCAGUUUGGUUCGGCCUACUAGAUUGAUCUUUCUUGCAAUGGGAGAAGUGCUUAGCUUUGGGUUCAAUCUUGCGUUGCUCGACCCCAGUGACAGAAAGGGAAACAACACGUAUUGUAUUGUUGCCAUCAAGGAUAAAAAGAAGGGGUUUAUAUCAUAUUGCUUGAGUUUAUCCCUCUACAUCAUGUCAUCUUGCCUAAUGCGUUACACUGUUCUUAUGAACUUAAUACUCUAGAUGCAUGCUGGAUAGCGUUCGAUGUGUGGAGUAAUAGUAGUAGAUGCAGAAUCGUUUCGGUCUACUUGUCGCGGACGUGAUGCCUAUAUACAUGAUCAUGCCUAGAUAUUCUCAUAACUAUGCACUUUUCUAUCAAUUGCUCGACAAUAAUUUGUUCACCCACCGUAAUACUUAUGCUAUCUUGAGAGAAGCCACUAGUGAAACCUAUGGCCCCCGGGUCUAUUUUCCAUCAUAUAAGUUUCCAAUCUAUUUUACUUUGCAAUCUUUACUUUUCAAUCUAGACAACAAAAAUACCAAAAAUAUUUAUCUUAUUAUCUCUAUCAGAUCUCACUUUUGCAAGUGGCCGUGAAGGGAUUGGCAACCCCUUUAUCGCGUUGGUUGCAAGGUUCUUAUUUGUUUGUGUAGGCACGAGGUGACUUGCGUGUAGUUCCUACUGGAUUGAUACCUUGGUUCUCAAAAACUGAGGGAAAUACUUACGCUACUUUGCUGCAUCACCCUUUCCUCUUCAAGGGAAAAACCAACGCAAUGCUCAAGAGGUGGCAAGAAGGAUUUCUGGCGCCGUUGCCGGGGAGAUCUACGCCAAGUCAAGACAUACCAAGUACCCAGCACAAACUCUUAUCCCUCGCAUUACAUUAUUUGCCAUUUGCCUCUCGUUUUCCUCUCCCUCACUUCACCCUUGCCUUUUCUUUGCCUUCUUCCCGUAUGUUUUUUGUUUUGUGUUUCCAUGUGCCUUCUAUUUGCUUGCAUCUUUUCUUGCUAAAAAUCUAUUGAUAUGGAUCCACUUAAAGUGUUCUACUUGGAUCAUCUUCGAUCCUUAUGCGCUCGUGCUAAAACCCCAACUAGCCUAGUUGAUGGGAAAUCUUUAGAUGAGCAUGCUCAUUUUGUGCGUCACCGUUUGUCUGAAAAAGGGAGACUCUUAUGGGAUCAAAUAAACAAAUUGCCGUGUUAUGCUUGGAAUCUUUGUGAAAUGUAUGAUUUUACUUGUUGCUCUAAGAACCCUAAAAAAUACCUCCCCUACCUAUGUGAGUUUAAUGAUAAUGAAAUCUUAUCUUCUUAUGCAAAGGGUGUUUAUAGUUACUACGAUAUUGAACAAAUUGAAGAAUUUGUUGCUUUUAAGGGUGCUUAUGAAGUUGCUUCUUUGAUUGAAAAGUAUGAUACUACUCUCUACGAAUCUGAAAAUUUUGACAUACUUAAAUAUUGCUAUGAAAACUAUGCUCAUAAUGUCUAUGUCAAAGAAUUUAUUGAAAGAAUGACCGUUGCUUCUGAAGAAAAUAAUGAUAUGCAUGAAUCUAUAGAUAAUUAUGAUUCCGAUGAUUUGAUUGAAAUAUCCCUUGAUGAACAUGAUGCUUGCUAUUCUUGUGGCCAUGAUGCCAAUAUUUAUGAAGAUGAAUUUGCUAUAGUUCCUUAUGUUAAACAUGAGAUCGUUGCUAUUGCACCCAUACAUGAUAGUUCCUUCGAUGAAAAGCAUGAUUGCAACGAUGUUACUAUAAAUUCUCUUGAUGUCAAUUGUGCUAAUAAUAUGCAAAAACCUAAGCUUGGGGAUGCUAGUUUUGCUUUGUCUACUACUUGUUGCAAUGAUCAUGAUUGGGGUGAUUCUUCUUAUGAUCUUGAAAAUCUAUUUAAGCCCCAUGAUAAAUAUGAGAUUGAUAAUAGUAUUUGCAAUAAUAUUGAAAGUGGGUUUGGAAGAGUGUCAACUUUAGAUCCCACAUAUUUGGAGAAUGUUCAAUCUUAUGGUAUUUUUGAUAAAAGUGGGUUUGGAGAGGUCAUGACUUUAGUUAAUGAUAAUCCCACUAUUUUGGAAGAGUGUCAACUUCGCAUGCAUGUGGAUCGUGUUGAGAAUAUGUUAUGUGAUAGCUAUUUUGUUGAAUUUGCCUAUGAUCCUACAUGUAAUUAUUAUGAGAGAGGAAAAUAUGGUUAUAGAAAUUUUCAUGCUACUAAAUUACCUCUCGUUAUGUUGAGAUUGCUAUUGUUUCUUUCCGCUUCCUUGCAUAUGCUAGUUUUUGCUUGCCUUGAUAAUUUGUUUGCCUAUAAGAUGCCUAUGCAUAGGAAGUAUGUUAGACUUAGAUGUGUUUGUCACGUGUUUUAUGAUGCUCUCUUUGUGCUUCAAUUCUUGUUUUUCAUGUGAGCAUCAUUGAAAUCUCAAUGCCUAGCUAAAAAGGCUUUAAAGAAAAGCGCUUGUUGGGAGGCAACCCAAUUUUAUUUUUGUUUGUUGCUUUUUGGUUCUGUUUAGUAAUAAAUAAUUCAUCUAGCCUCUGGUUAGAUGUGGUUUUAUGUUUUAAUUAGUGUUUGUGCCAAGUGAAACCUAUAGGAUCUUCUUGGAUGAUAGUUAUUUGAUCUUGCUGAAAAAGUCAGAAACUUUCUGCUCAUGAAAACAAUUGUUAAAAAUCACCAGAACGUGAUAAAAUACUGAUUCCAAUUGCAGUAGAUCAAUAAACAAAUUAUAUAGGUUUUCCUAUUUUGGUAUAUUUUUCCGAGUUACAGAAGUUUGCGUUUGUUACAGAUUACUACAGACUGUUCUGUUUUUGACAGAUUCUGUUUUUUGUGUGUUGUUUGCUUAUUUUGAUGAAUCUAUGACUAGUAUCGGGGGGUAUAAACCAUAGAGAAGUUGGAAUACAGUAGGUUUAACACCAAUAUAAAUAAAUAAUGACUUCAUUACAGUACCUUGAAGUGGUGGUUUGUUUUCUUUCGCUAACGGAGCUCAUGAGAUUUUCUGUUGAGUUUUGUGUUGUGAAGUUUUCAAGUUUUGGGUAAAGAUUUGAUGGAUUAUGGAAUAAGGAGUGGCAAGAGCCUAAGCUUGGGGAUGCCCAAGGCACCCCAAGGUAAAUUCAAGGACAACCAAAAGCCUAUGCUUGGGGAUGCUCCGGAAGGCAUCCCCUCUUUCGUCUUCGUCCAUCGGUAACUUUACUUGAUGCUAUAUUUUUAUUCACCACAUGAUAUGUGUUUUGCUUGGAGCUUCUUGUAUGAUUUGAUUCUUUGCUUUUUAUUUUACCACAGUCAUCCUUGCUGUAAACACCUUUUGGAGACACACACAUGAAUCGGAAUCUAUUAGAAUACUCUAUGUGCUUCACUUAUAUCUUUUGAGCUAGAUAAUUUUGCUCUAGUGCUUCGCUUAUAUGUUUUAGAGCACGGUGGUGGUUUAUUUUAUAGAAAUUAUUGAUCUCUCAUGCUUCACUUAUAUUAUUUUGAGAGUCUUUUGGAACAGCAUGGUAAUUUUCUUUGGUUAAAAUUUUAGUCCUAAAGUGAUGAGCAUCCAAGAUGGGUAUAAUAAAAACUAUCAUAUAAAGUGCAUUGAAUACUAUGAGAAGUUUGAUUCUUUAUGAUUGUUUUGAGAUAUGAAGAUGGUGAUAUUAGAGUCAUUCUAGUUGAGUAGUUGUGAAUUUGAGAAAUACUUGUGUUAAAGUUUGUGAUUCCCGUAGCAUGCACGUAUGGUGAACCGUUAUGUGAUGAAGUCGGAGCAUGAUUUAUUUAUUGAUUGUCUUCCUUAUGAGUGGCGGUCGGGGACGAGCGAUGGUAUUUUCCUACCAAUCUAUCCCCCUAGGAGCAUGCACGUAAUACUUCGUUUUGAUAACUAAUAGAUUUUUGCAAUAAGUAUAUGAGUUCUUUAUGACUAAUGUUGAGUCCAUGGAUUAUACGCACUCUCACCCUUCCACCAUCGCUAGCCUCUCUAAUACCGCGCACCUUUCACCGGUAUCAUACACCCACCAUAUACCUUCCUCAAAACAGCCACCAUACCUACCUAUUAUGGCAUUUCCAUAGCCAUUCCGAGAUAUAUUGCCAUGCAACUUACCACCGUUCCGUUUAUUAUGACACGCUUCAUCAUUGUCAUAUUGCUUUGCAUGAUCAUGUAGUUGACAUUGUAUUCGUGGCAAAGCCACAUUUAUAAUUCUUUCAUACAUGUCACUCUUGAUUCAUUGCAUAUCCCGGUACACCGUCGGAGGCAUUCACAUAGAGUCAUAUUUUGUUCUAAGUAUUGAGUUGUAAUUCUUGAGUUGUAAGUAAAUAAAAGUGUGAUGAUCAUCAUUAUUAGAGCAUUGUCCCAGUAAGGAAAGGAUGAUGGAGACUAUGAUUCCCCCACAAGUCGGGAUGAGACUCCGGACGAAAAAUAAAAAAGAAAGAAAGAAAAGAGGCCAUAAAAAAAGAGAAAGGCCCAAAUAAAAAAAAAAGAGAAAAAGAGAGAAGGGACAAUGCUACUAUCCUUUUACCACACUUGUGCUUCAAAGUAGCACCAUGAUCAUCAUGAUAGAGAGUCUCCUAUGUUGACACUUUCAUAUACUAGUGGGAAUUUUUCAUUAUAGAACUUGGCUUGUAUAUUCCAAUGAUGGGCUUCCUCAAAAUUCCUAGGUCUUCGUGAGCAAGCGAGUUGGAUGCGCACCCACUUAGUUUCUUUUGUUGAGCUUUCAUACACUUAUAGCUCUAGUGCAUCCGUUGCAUGGCAAUCCCUACUCACUCACAUUGAUAUCUAUCGAUGGGCAUCUCCAUAGCCCAUUGAUACGCCUAUUUGAUGUGGGACUAUCUUCUCCUUUUUUGUCUUCUCCACAACCACCAUUCUAUUCCACAUAUAGCGCUAUGUCCAUGUCUCACGCUCAUGUAUUGCGUGAAGAUUGAAAAAGUUUGAGAACAUCAAAAGUAUGAAACAAUUGCUUGGCUUGUCAUCGGGGUUGUGCAUGAUUUAAUAUUUUGUGUGAUGAAGAUAGAGCAUAGCCAGACUAUACAAUUUUGUAGGGAUAACUUUCUUUGGCCAUGUUAUUUUGAGAAGACAUGAUUGCUUUAUUAGUAUGCUUGAAGUAUUAUUGUUUUUAUGUCAAUAUUAAACUUUUGUCUUGAAUCUUUCGGAUCUGAACAUUCAUGCCACAAUAAAGAAAAUUACAUUGAGGAUUAUGCUAGGUAGCAUUCCACAUCAAAAAUUCUGUUUUUAUCAUUUACCUACUCGAGGACGAGCAGGAAUUAAGCUUGGGGAUGCUUGAUACGUCUCCAACGUAUCUAUAAUUUUUGAUUGUUCCAUGCUAUUAUAUUAUCUUUUUGGAUGUUUAAUGGGCUUUAUUAUACACUUUUAUAUUAUUUUUGGGACUAACCUACUAACCGGAGGCGCAGUGCAAAUUGCUGUUUUUUUGCCUAUUUUAGUGUUUCGCAGAAAAGGAAUAUCAAAAAGAGUCCAAACGGAAGGAAACCUUCGGGAGAGUUAUUUUUGGAACAAACGCAAUCCAGGAGACUUGGAGUGGAGGUCAAGAAAGAACCAAGGAGGCCACGAGGCAGGAGGGCGUGCCCAGGGGGGUAGGCGCGCCCCCACCCUCGUGGGCCCUCGUGGCUCCCCUGCCCGACUUCUUUCGCCUAUAUAUACCCAUAUACCCCGAAAACAUCCGAGAGCACCACGAAACCGUAUUUCCACCGCCGCAACCUUCUGUACCCAUGAGAUCCCAUCUUGGGGCCUUUUUCGGCGCUCCGCCGGAGGGGGAAUCGAUCACGGAGGGCUUCUACAUCAACACCAUAGCCUCUCCGAUGAUGUGGAGUAGUUUAUCACAGACCUCCGGGUCCAUAGUUAUUAGCUAGAUGGCUUCUUCUCUCUCUUUGGAUCUCAAUACAAAGUUCUCCUCGAUCUUCUUGGAGAUCUAUUCGAUGUAAUUCUUUUUGCGGUGUGUUUGUCGAGAUCCGAUGAAUUGUGGGUUUAUGAUCAAGAUUAUCUAUGAACAAUAUUUGGAUCUCCUCUGAAUUCUUUUAUGUGAUUUGUUAUCUUUGCAAGUCUCUUCGAAUUAUCAGUUUGGUUUGGCCUACUAGAUUGAUCUUUCUUGCAAUGGGAGAAGUGCUUAGCUUUGGGUUCAAUCUUGCGUUGCUCGAUCCCAGUGAUAGAAAGGGAAACAACACGUAUUGUAUUGUUGCCAUCGAGGAUAAAAAGAUGGGGUUUAUAUCAUCUUGCUUGAGUUUAUCCCUCUACAUCAUGUCAUCUUGCCUAAUGCAUUACUCUAUUCUUAUGAACUUAAUACUCUAGAUGCAUGCUGGAUAGUGGUCGAUGUGUGGAGUAAUAGUAGUAGAUGCAGAAUCGUUUCGGUCUACUUAUCGCGGACGUGAUGCCUAUAUACAUGAUCAUGCCUAGAUAUUCUCAUAACUAUGCACUUUUCUAUCAAUUGCUCGACAGUAAUUUGUUCACCCACCGUAAUACUUAUGCUAUCUUGAGAGAAGCCACUAGUGAAACCUAUGGCCCCCGGGUAUAUUUUCCAUCAUAUAAGUUUCCAAUCUAUUUUACUUUGCAAUCUUUACUUUUCAAUCUAGACAACAAAAAUACCAAAAGUAUUUAUCUUAUUAUCUCUAUCAGAUCUCACUUUUGCAAGUGGCCGUGAAGGGAUUGACAACCCCUUUAUCGCGUUGGUUGCAAGGUUCUUAUUUGUUUGUGUAGGUACGAGGCGACUUGCGUGUAGUCUCCUACUGGAUUGAUACCUUGGUUCUCAAAAACUGAGGGAAAUACUUACACUACUUUGCUGCAUCACCCUUUCCUCUUCAAGGGAAAAACUAACGCAGUGCUCAAGAGGUACCAACAAGACCUUCUUGUUGCAUCAUAUACAACUUUUCUUUAAAAAAUCCAUUAAGGAAUGUAGUUUUGACAUCCAUUUGCCAGAUUUCAUAAAACGUGGCAAUUGCUAACAUGAUUCAGACAGACUUAAGCAUCGCUACGAGUGAGAAAAUCUUAUCGUAGUCAACACCUUGAACUUGUCAAAAACUUUUUGCGACAAUUCGAGCUUUGUAGAUAGUAACACUACUAUCAGCGUCCGUCUUCCUCUUGAAGAUCCAUUUAUUCUCAAUGGCUCACCGAUCAUCGGGCAAGUCAAUCAAAGUCCAUACUUUGUUCUCAUACAUGGGUCCCAUCUCAGAUUUCAUGGCCUCAAACCAUUUCGCGGAAUCUGAGCUCAUCAUCGCUUCCUCAUAGUUCGUAGGUUCAUCAUGGUCUAGUAACAUGACUCCCAGAAUAGGAUCACCGUACAACUCUGGUGCAGAACAUAUUCUGUUUGGCCUACGAGGUUCGGUAGUAACUUGAUCUGAAGUUUCAUGAUCAUCAUCAUUAACUUCCUCACUGAUUGAUGUAGGCAUCACUGGAACUGAUUUCUGUGAUGAACUACUUUCCAAUUUGGGAGAAGGUACAAUUACCUCAUCAAGUUCUACUUUCCUCCCACUCACUUCUUUCAAGAGAAACUUCUUCUCUAGAAAGGAUCCAUUCUUAGCAACGAAUAUCUUGCCUUCGGAUUUGUGAUAGAAGGUGUACCCAACAGUUUCCUUUGGGUAUCCUAUGAAGACACAUUUCUCCGAUUUGGGUUCGAGCUUACCAGGUUGAAACUUUUUCACAUAAGCAUCACAGCCCCAAACUUUAAGAAAUGACAGCUUAGGUUUCCUGCUAAACCAUAGUUCAUAUGGUGUCGUCUCAACGGAUUUAGAUGGUGCCCUAUUUAACGUGAAUGCAACUGUCUCUAAUGCAUAACCCCAAAACGAUAGUGGUAAAUCGGUAAGAGACAUCAUAAAUCGCACCAUAUCUAAUAAAGUAAGGUUACGACGUUCGGACACACCAUUACGCUAUGGUGUUCCAGGUGGCGUGAGUUGUGAAACUAUUCCACAGUUUUAAAUGAAGGUAAAACUCGUAACUCAAAUAUUGGCCUCCGCGAUCAGAUCAUAGAAACUUUAUUUUCUUGUUACGAUGAUUUUCCACUUCACUCUGAUAUUCUUUGAAUUUUUCAAAUGUUUCAGACUUGUGUUUCAUCAAGUAGAUAUACCCAUAUCUGCUCAAAUCAUCUGUGAGGCUCAGAAAAUAAUGAUACCCGCCGCGAGCCUCAACACUCAUCAGACCGCAUACAUCGGUAUGUAUUAUUUCCAAUAAGUCAGUGUCUCGCUCCAUUGUUCUUGAGAACGGAGUCUUAGUCAUCUUGCACAUGAGGCAAGGUUCGCAAGCAUCAAAUGAUUCAUAAUCAAGUGAUUCCAAAAUUCCAUCUGCAUGGAGUUUCUUCAUGCGCUUUACACCAAUAUGACCUAAACGGCAGUGCCACAAAUAAGUUGCACUAUCAUUAUUAAACUUAUAUCUUUUGGCAUCAAUAUUAUGUGUAUCACUGUGAUCGAGAUUCAGUAAACCAUUUACAUUGGAUGUAAGACCAUAGAAGGUUUUAUUCAUGUAAACAGAACAACAAUUAUUCUCUGACUUAAAUGAAUAACCGUAUCGCUAUAAACAUGAUCCAAUCAUAUUUAUGCUCAACGCAAACACCAAAUAACAUUUAUUUAGUUCCAAUACUAAUCCCGAAGGAAAAAGGGAGUGUGCGAUGGUGAUCUUAUCAACCUUGGAAUCACUUCCAACACACAUCGUCGCCUUGCCCUCAACUAGUCUCUGUUCAUUUUGUAACUCCUGUUUCAAGUUACUAAUCAUACCAACUGAACCAGUAUCAAAUACCCAGGGGCUACUAUGAAUACUAGUAAAGUACACAUCAAUAACAUGUAUAUCAUAUAUACUUUUGUUCACUUUGCCAUCCUUCUUAUCCGCCAAGUAUUUAGGGCAGUUCCGCUUCCAGUGACCAUUUCCUAUCCAGUAGAAGCACUCAGUUUCAGGCUUGGGUCUAGCUUUGGGCUUCUUCAUGGGAGUGGCAACUUGCUUUUCAUUCUUCUUGAAGUUCCCUUUCUUUCCCUUGCCCUUUUACUUGAAACUAGUGGUCUUGUCAACCAUCAACACUUGAUGCUUUUCUUGAUUUCUACCUUCGCCGAUUUCAGCAUCGCGAAGAGUUCGGGGAAUCGUUUUCUUCAUCCCUUGCAUAUUAUAGUUCAUCAUGAAGUUCCAGUAACUUGGUGAUAGUGACUAGAGAACUCUGUCAAUCACUAUCUUAUCUGGAAGAUUAACUCCCACUUGAUUCAAGCGAUUGUAGUACUCAGACAUUCUGAGCACAUGCUCACUGGUUGAGCUAUUCUCCUCCAUCUUGUAGGCAAAGUACUUGUCAGAGGUCUCAUACCUCUCGACUCGGGCAUGAGUCUGAAAUACCAAUUUCAGCUCUUGGAACAUAUCAUAUGCUCCGUGACAUUUCAAAACAUUUUUUAAGUCCCGGUUCUAAGCCGUAAAGCAUGGUGCACUAAACUAUCAAGUAGUCAUCAUACCGAGCUUGUCAAACAUUCAUAAUGUCUGCAUCUGCUCCUGCAAUAAUUUUGUCACCUAGCGGUGCAUCAAGGACAUAAUUCUUCUGUGCAGCAAUGAGGAUAAUCCUCAGAUGACAGACCUAGUCCGCAUCAUUGCUACUAUACAACUUUCAACUUAGUUUUCUCUAGGAACAUAUCAUAAAUAAAAUGAGGAAGCUAUACGCGAGCAAUUGAUCUACAACAUAGAUAUUACUUAAGAACUCCCACGUAGAUAGACAUCCCUCUAGUCAUCUAAAUGACCACGUGAUCCAUAUCAACUAAACCAUGUCCGAUCAUCACGUGAGAUGGAGUAGUUUUCAAUGGUGAACAUCACUAUGUUGAUCAUAUCUACUAUAUGAUUCACGUUCGACCUUUCGGUCUCAGUGUUCCGAGGCCAUAUCUGCAUAUGCUAGGCUCGUCAAGUUUAACCCGAGUAUUCUGCAUGUGCAAAACCGGCUUGCACCUGUUGUAUGUGAACGUAGAGCUUAUCACACCCGAUCAUCACGUGGUGUCUCGGCAUGACGAACUGUCGCAACAGCGCAUACUCAGGGAGAACACUUAUACCUUGAAAUUUAGUGAGGGAUCAUCUUAUAAUGCUACCGCCGUACUAAGCAAAAUAAGAUGCAUAAAAGAUAAACAUCACAUGCAAUCAAAAUAUGUGACAUGAUAUGGCCAUCAUCAUCUUGUGCCUUUGAUCUCCAUCUCCAAAGUAUCGUCAUGAUCUCCAUCGUCACCGGCAUGACACCAUGAUCUCCAUCAUAUUGAUCUCUAUCAACGUGUCGUCACAUGGUUGUCUCGCCAACUAUUGCUUUUGCAACUAUUGCUAUCGCAUAGCGAUAAAGUAAAGCAAUUAUAUGGCGCUUGCAUCUUAUGCAAUAAAGAGACAACCAUAAGGCUCCUGCCAGUUGCCGAUAACUUUAACAAAACAUGAUCAUCUCAUACAAGAAAUUAUAUCACAUCAUGUCUUGACCAUAUCACAUCACAACAUGCCCUGCAAAAACAAGUUAGACGUCUUCUACUUUGUUGUUGCAAGUUUUACGUGGCUGCUACGGGCUUCUAGCAAGAACCGUUCUUACCUAUGCAUCAAAAACCACAACGAUUUUUUGUCAAGUGUGCUAUUUUAACCUUCAACAAGGAUCGGGCGUAGUCACACUCGAUUCAACUAAAGUUGGAGAAACAGACACCCACUAGCCACCUGUGUGCGAAGCACGGCAGUAGAACCAGUCUCAUGAACACGGUCAUGUAAUGUCGGUCUGGGUCGCUUCGUCCAACAAUACUGCCGAAUCAAAGUAUGACAUGCUGGUAAGCAGUAUGACUAUUAUCGCCCACAACUCUUUGUGUUCUACUCGUGCAUAUAACAUCUACGCAUAGACCUGGCUCGGAUGCCACUGUUGGGGAACGUAGUAUUUCAAAAAUUUGCCUACGAUCACACAAGAUCUAUCUAGGAGAAGCAUGGCAACGAGCGGGGAGAGUGUGUCUACGUACCCUCGUAGACCGAAAGCGGAAGCGUUUAGUAACACAGUUGAUGUAGUCGAACGUCUUCGCGAUCCAACCAAGCCAAGCACCGAACGUACGACACCUCCGCGUUCAGCACACGUUCAACUCGAUGACGUCCCUCGUACUCUUGAUACAGUUGAGGCCGAGGGAGAUUUCCGUCGGCACGACGGCGUGGCGACGGUGAUGAUGAAGUUACCGGCGCAGGGCUUCGCCUAAGCACUACGACGAUAUGACCGAGGUGUGUAACUGUGGAGGGGGGCACCGCACAUGGCUAAGACAAAUCUUGGAGUGCCUUUGGGGUUCCCCCUGCCCACGUAUAUAAAGGAGGGAGGAGGAGGAGGCCGGCCUAGGAGGGGCGCGCCUAUAGGGGGAGUCCAACUAGGAUUCCCAAUCCUAGUUGGAGUCCCCUUCCUUUUCCAAGAGGGGAGAGAGGGAAGGAGUAGGAGAGGGAGAAGGAAAGAGAGGGGGGCGCCGCCCCCUCCCUAGUCCAAUUCAGACUAGNNNNNNNNNNNNNNNNNNNNNNNNNNNNNNNNNNNNNNNNNNNNNNNNNNNNNNNNNNNNNNNNNNNNNNNNNNNNNNNNNNNNNNNNNNNNNNNNNNNNNNNNNNNNNNNNNNNNNNNNNNNNNNNNNNNNNNNNNNNNNNNNNNNNNNNNNNNNNNNNNNNNNNNNNNNNNNNNNNNNNNNNNNNNNNNNNNNNNNNNNNNNNNNNNNNNNNNNNNNNNNNNNNNUCUUUCCCGUAUGGCCCAUUAAGGCCCAAUACUUCCCCGACGAAUUCCCGUAACUCUCCGGUACUCCAAAAAAUACCUGAAACUCGGAACCUUUCCCAUGUCCGAAUACAGCCUUCCAAUAUAUCGAUCUUGUACCUCUCGACCAUUUUGAGAGUCCUCAUCAUGUCCGUGAUCUCAUCCGGGACUCCGAACAACCUUCGGUCAUCAAAUCACAUAAACUCAUAAUACAAAUCGUCAUCGAACGUUAAGCGUGCGGACCCUACAGGUUCGAGAACUAUGUAGACAUGACCGAGACACAUCUCCUAUCAAUAACCAAUAGCGGAACCUGGAUGCUCAUAUUGGCUCCUACAUAUUCUAUGAAGAUCUUUAUCGGUCAAACCGCAUAACAACAUACGUUGUUCCCUUUGUCAUCGGUAUGUUACUUGCCCGAGAUUCGAUCGUCGGUAUCACCAUACCUAGUUCAAUCUCGUUACCGGCAAGUCUCUUUACUCGUUCCGUAAUGCAUCAUCCCGUAACUAACUCAUUAGUCACCUUGCUUGCAAGGCUUAUAGUGAUGUGCAUUACCGAGAGGGCCCAGAGAUACCUUUCCGAUACACGGAGUGACAAAUCCUAAUCUUGAUCUAUGCCAACCCAACAAACACCUUCGGAGACACCUGUAGAGCAUCUUUAUAAUCACCCAGUUACGUUGUGAUGUUUGAUAGCACACAAGGUGUUCCUCCGGUAUUCGGGAGUUGCAUAAUCUCAUAGUUAGAGGAAUAUGUAUAAGUCAUGAAGAAAGCAAUAGCAAUAAAACUUAACGAUCAUAAUGCUAAGCUAACGGAUGGGUCUUGUCCAUCACAUCAUUCUCCUAAUGAUGUGAUCCCGUUCAUCAAAUGACAACACAUGUCUAUGGUCAGGAAACUUAACCAUCUUUGAUUAACGAGCUAGUCUAGUAGAGACAUACUAGGGACACUUUGUUUUGUCUAUGUAUUCACACAUGUAUCAAGUUUCCGGUUAAUACAAUUCUAGCAUGAAUAAUAAACAUUUAUCAUGAUAUAAGGAAAUAUAAAUAACAACUUUAUUAUUGCCUCUAGGGCAUAUUUCCUUCACUAAGUACUCCCUCUAGCUAUCUAUGCUUUUUCUCGUCUCAAACUCUAUUCAUGCUACAUCACAAAGUUUGAACAAGUCGAAUUCGGACCCUCUGAGUGAGGAGCACUCGGAGCCACCGAUCUGUCAAGGGCUUAACUUACAAAACCUCUUAAUGCCUUUCGGUCAGACCAACUCACUCCUACUCGGUCUCACCGAACUCAUUAAGUUGAUCUAGGUUUUUAUCUCGGUGCAACCGAUUUGAACUAUUCGGUCACACCGAGUUGCAGCAACUACUAGCAGUUAUGCAUCUCGGUGCCACCGAGUCGUUCCACUCGGUCACACCGAUAGCGUCUGGGUAUAUAUACCGCGGGUUGAAAUUUUGGAAACUCCUCCAAACCACUCGACCGUGCCUCCCAGCACUGCCGCCCCUUUGGUCUCCGGAUCGUCGCUGUCGUCGCCAGUGACCUCCUGCCGCCGGUCUCCGCUGCUGUCAAUGGAAUCCUCACCGCUUUGCCGCCGUAGCAAGUCCGUCGCCAAGUUAGGGUACGGAUUUGACCCUUGGUGCUUUCCAUAACUCCGAUUCUUGCACAAAGUAUAAUGCCUAUGUUCUUCUCACGUAUGAGAUUGAUCUAUCCACCAAAAGAACUCCUCAGAAUAGAUUUGAUGCAAAAAACUUAGGGUUAGGUUUCCGCUGAACUCAUCUCGGACCUACCGAUCUGAGGAUCUCGGUCACACCGAUUGGCCCUGGCCAUUGCACAAGUACAACUCGAUCUGACCAAGUGUACUGAUCUGUGCGACCGAAAUCACUAGCAUCUCGGAGUCACCGAACUGCAUUUUGGUCUGACCGAAACUGUGUGUUUAGACUCUAUUAGUGCUUCGGUCUCACCGAGUUUGUCAAAUCGGUAGCUCCGAAAUGCUUUCUGCAGAAAACUAAAAUUAAGUUUUUGUCUCAAUAUUUUUGCAAAAUAAGCUGCACUUUGUGAUGCUCAUCCACUCUAUCUAUACCCAACUAUUCACAGGGUCAAUUUCAGCAAUGUCAGAGGGCAGUGAUAGUCAGAACAAGUCUGAAGAGCAGCUCAACCUCAGUGAGGGCACUAGUCCCUCAAGAAGCUAUGAUAAGGGGAGCAGAAGCACUCCCAGUAACUUGCCUAAGGUAGCAACUAGGCAAAGGAAGAAGAGAACAUCUGAAUCUGAGGAUGAGGAUUUUGUCAUGGAGGAGGAGGUGACCUCCAAGAAGAAAGUACUCAAGAAAGAGUAUGCUGCUGCUGCCACAAAGCCUGUAAUAUAGAAGAAGGCUCCUGCUAAGAGAGCUCCGAUGUCAAAGGCCAGAGCCUCAACUUAAGAAACUAUGGAAUUCACUCUUGAACCAAGAGAGGAAGAGGCUGUUGGAGGAAAGAAGAGGAAGGAGAGAGUCAGAAAGACUAUUGCAAGAGUCAUUGGAAAACCUUCUAUGAUGAGAGAUUCUGAUGAAGAUGAGGAGGAGGAAGAGCCCGUUGCACCUCCUGCAAAGACUCAGAAACUUAUGGGGGAUGCCAUAAGGAUUGAGGCUGCUCAAUCUAAGCCCAAGUCUGCCCCCAAGCCUUCAGCUCAAGCUCAAGCUCCCAAGCCAUCUGCACCAAAGAGAUCUACCAAGAACAUCCCUACUGCUGAAAAGAAUAAGACCCCAGUGUCUGAAGCUCAAGAAGAAGAAGAGACACUAGUGCUAAAAAAACUCAAGCCCGAGAUUCCAGAUCAUAGUGAUGAUCAUCCUGUGGCAGAAAAUAUGAAGCUAAGAAAGGAUGCAGGUCCGAGACUUUGGAGAAAGACUGAUCCCUAUGCCACCAGGAGAAGAACUGCUAUGGACUAUCGCUUUCACACCAAGGAACAUUAGGAUUUCUAUGAGACUGUCCUUUUGGACAAGAAGCCCAUAGUAUGUGACAUGAAAUGGGUUGACUGGAAAUACAUUGAUGACAAUGAAUUUUUUUCCAAGUGUGCAUGAGAGCUUCAGAAUGAAUGAAGUUGACAAGUUUGUUGGUCAGAAGUUGACUAAGUGGAACAAUGAGAUGAUCAUGCAAUUCUAUUCCACUGCUCACUUCUACCCUGAUGGAAAGAUUGUCUAGAUGACUGAAGGUACAAGGUAUCAAUCAACUAUCUCAGAAUGGGCCAAGCUGAUCAAUGCUCCAGAGGAAUAGGAGAAUGACAUUGAUGUGUAUGCUAAGCCUAGGAAGGAUCAUAACUCCAUGGCUAACAUGUACAAGACUAUUCCAGAUGAUGCCCUGGAGACUCACAAGUUUGGAUCUAUCUACUUCCUGCUUGCUGGCCUGACCACAAUCAACACCAUAUUGAGGUACACUCUUUUGCCCAAGUCAGGAGAUCAUAGAAUGAUCCGUGGUCACUCCAUCAACUUGCUCCACUUGUUUGAUGUACCUCAAAAGUUCAAGGUAAUGAGCUUGAUUGUUGAGACAGUGAAGAGAACAUCUGCUGAUCAAAAGAGAUCUUCUGGAUAUGCCCCUCACAUUCAAAUGUUGAUCAAUUUCAAGAUGGAAACUGGGACAUAUCUUCUUGAUAGAGAGCAUCUUCCCCUGAGGCCAGACUUUGGGGACAAUGAGAUUGUCAUGGAUCCUUCCCAUCCUACUUGUGCUGAAGCCCAGGAGAAGAGAAAGAAAGCAAAGGCUGCAAAAGCAGCAAGUGCACCCGAUGCCUCCAUAGUUAUGCUCAAGACCAAGCAAGAUCAACUCAGUUAUCUGCUUGAGGCUACAAUGAGGAUUGAGAAGGGCUUGGCCACCCUGACUCAAAACCAGGAAAGUCUUGAGAGGAUUAUUGAGACUAAAUUUCAUGACCUAGAAGUGAAGGUCAUUGAGAUACAGACUACUACGGAGAAGCUCCAAGAAGAAGCCGAGGACAGGGAGGAUAGACCAACUACAUAUACUUUCCAGAGAGUGCCAAGGGCACAAAGGUCAUCAGCAGUGCCAGCUGUCAGAGACUCCAGGACUACUACUUCAGCACCUGCAGCAACUGCCACGGUUGCACCUCCAGUGUCAACCCCUCCAGCUCCAUAGACUUCUACCGAAGCUUUUGCAGAUGCCCUCCUCUCCAUGCCAUCUACGUACACCGAAGCAACAAGCCAGAAGACCCCUUUAGGAGCUCCCGGAGAUCGUGCCUAGAGUGCCGUAUAGCACCAUACGUUUUUGAACUUUUUGGUAACUUGUUGCCAAAGGGGAAGAAAGUGUAUAGAUCUUAGGCUUUGAGAGAGAGAGAGAGUGUGUGUGUGUGUUGGUUUUAUUUGCUUCUCUUGCCACUUUGAUCGUUUGGUUGUUUGAUUGCUAUGCUACUAUUUGUGCUAUGCUCAUGAGAUACUUAUGUGAUCAUGUGUUUGAUCAUACUAUGCUUAAUGUGUGGUUGCUUGCUUAUAUCCAUGAAUUUGUGUAUGAUCAAUCACUUGUACCCUUGGUGAUGAGUGCAUAUUAUUUAAAUCUUAUCAUUUUGAGCGCUCCACCAAGAUGUAUGUGACAUGGAAGAGUGACCCAUGAUCCUAAUCGAUUGUGCAUUUGCAUUCAAAAGCAAACUUUAAAUAAUGCACAAAUUUAGGGGGAGCUCUUGCUUAUCACAUACUUCUCAAAGCUAUGAUGUAUUUCAUUCAUAUUAUCAUUUGUCAAAGCUUUGAUCUAUAUGUUGUCAUCAAUUACCAAAAAGGGGGAGAUUGAAAGUGCAACUCAUCCCCUGGUGGUUUUGAUAAUUCAUAACAACAUAUAGCUCAUUGAACUAAUGUCCAUUCAAGUUAAAUAUUUCAGAAAGUUCAAUGAUUGGCAUGGCAUGGACUAGAGAUGUGGACCCCUCGAAAUGCUAAGGACAAAGAUUGGCAAAAGCUCAAGACUCUUCAUUUCUAUUUUAGUGAUCCAAGAUCACAUUGAGUCCAUAGGAAAGCCAAUACUAUUAAAAGGGGAUGAGGUGUUGCUUAAUGGUCUAGUUGCUCAAAGUGCUUAGUGAUAUUGCUCCAAAAGCCCUCAACCACUUUCUCAUUUCCAAAUAUGUCCAAAACCCAAAGUCAAGCCCCACCAAACCAUUCUAUCCGGCGCCACCGAGUUCAGUUGACAUAGCCACUGCCAGAAACCCUAGACAAUUUGGUCACACCGAUACGGAUCUCGGUCUCACCGGGAUGGCCUUGCAAACUCUCUGUUGCCCGUUGCAACUAUUUCGGUCUCACCAAAAUGUGCGAUUGGUCUCACCGAGUUUGUUUGCCAUCCUCUCUGUUGCCUUAUUGCUUCACUUCGGUCUAACCGAGUUGAUGCAAUUGGUGCCACCGAGUUGAUGUUUGCCCUAAGCCCUAGCACAUCGGUCCCACAGAGUUGUUCUUGUUGGUCCCACCAAGAUUCCUAACAUUCACAUUUCAAACUAAAUCGGUCUCACCGAGUUCUUUUAUUCGGUCUGACCGAGUUGGGUCAAAUGUGUGUAACGGUUGGAUUUUGUGUGGAGGCUAUAUAUACCCGUCCACCCCUUCUCCAUUUCUGAGAGAGCCAUCAGAAUGUGCCUACACUUCCACUACUCAUUUUCUGAGAGAGAGCCACCUACUCAUGUGUUGAGACCAAGAUAUUCCCAUCCUACCACUAGAAUCUUGAUCUCUAGCCUUCCCCAAGUUGCUUUCCACUCAAAUCAUCUUUCCACCAUAGCCAAAUCUAUGUGAGAGAGUUGAGUGUUGGGGAGACUAUCAUUUGAAGCACAAGAGCAAGGAGUUCAUCAUCAACACACCAUCUAUUACCUUUUGGAGAGUGGUGUCUCCUAGAUUGGUUAGGUGUCGCUUGGGAGCCUCUGACAAGAUUGUGGAGUUAAACCAAGAAGUUUGUAAGGGCAAGGAGAUCGCCUACUUUGUGAAGAUCUACCCGAGUGAGGCAAGUCCUUCGUGGGCGAUGGCCAUGGUGGGAUAGACAAGGUUUCUUCUUCAUGGACCCUUCGUGGGUGGAGCCCUGCAUGGACUCGCGCAACCGUUACCCUUCGUGGGUUGAAGUCUCCAUCAACGUGGAUGUACGAUAGCACCACCUAUUGGAACCACGCCAAAAAUCUCCAUGUCUACAUUGCGUUUGCCUUCUCGAAACCCUUCCCUUUACCUUCAUAUGCAAUGUUUUACUUUCCGCUGCUACACUCUUAGAAUUGCAUGUGUAGGUUGAUUGCUUGACUUGUACUAGUUGCUAAAAUCUGCCAACAAUUAAAAUUGGGAAAAGGCUAGAUUUUUAUUUUGUCAAGUAUUCUAAUAACUCCCCUCUAGACCUACUUUCGAUUUUACACUAUCUCCGCAGGGCAUCGCCUAAGCACUCCGAAAAUAUGACUGAGGGACGAAACUGUGGAGAGGGGCGCCGCACACGGCUAAGAGAUUGUCGUAGUGUUGUGUGUGGCACCCCCUCCCUCAUAUAUAUAGGCGGGGGGAGAUGGUAGGCAGCUAGGAGGCACCCCAAGGGUGGCCGAAUCCCUCUUGGCCUCCUGCCCUUGGCCGCCCCCCUUUCCUUGUUUGUGCGUGGGAGGAAGGCAGGGGGAGGUGGCGGCCCCCCUUUCCUUUCCCUCAUGAGGAGGGAAAGGCAGGAGAGGCCAACCUCCCUUUCCU